RNAcentral lists this long non-coding RNA (80586 nucleotides) under Gossypium barbadense (sea-island cotton). RNAcentral's name for it is "long non-coding RNA (GBAR_LNC001737)". Lineage: Eukaryota; Viridiplantae; Streptophyta; Magnoliopsida; Malvales; Malvaceae. The record is from RNAcentral.
UUUUUUUUUUUUGUGAACUUGGUAUAGAUCAUGUGAUUAGAUAAAAAUUAAUUAAAUUUUAAUUUAAUUGGUAUAAUAUUGUUAUUGGCAUAAAAAGAGGAAAAAAUAUUUAUUUUCACAAAUUCAACCACUUUAAUAAAAUUUAAAAUUUUUCUCUUACAUCCAAAAAGAUUUUCAAAUAUUUUUAUUACUUUUAAUAAUAAUAUUUAAAAAUAUUAUAUUAUAUUAUUUUUCAUCCAUGAGUGAGUGAAACAAUAUUAUUUGGAUAUAUUUGAAGUAAAUUCUAGAUAUUCUUGUUUUAAAUAAUCCCAACAAAGUAAAGACGGAGUUAGGACUUUAAGAAAUCCAAUUAGGUUGGUUUAAAAAUAUAGCUUUUUUGCAAUGAUUAAAUUUUGAUGUUUUUAAUUCCUUUUUAUGUUUUUUUUUGAUCAUUCGUGUCUUUUUUGAAGUGGCAAUGCUUUAAGAAAAGGUGAAGAUUUCAAUAUUAAUAUAAAAAUUUUAAUAAUAUACUUAAGAUUAAUUAAAAAACCUAAACAUCAAAUAAUCUUCUCGAUUCAUUUUUAAAGAAAUAAAAAUUUCACUAUAUUCGAAAUAUAAAAUAAAAAUAUGUAUUUAAUACACCAAACAAAAUUUAUAAAAUAACGACUCAAUUAUCGUAUUUCAUUUUUAACAAUAUUAGAUCAGGUCUGGAACUAAAUUAAAAUUUUAUAAUUAUUUAUUUUAUAUAAAAUAACUGGAAUUAUUUUAUUUAUUUGUAAGCUCUUCCACGAAAGCUUUAAUGUUGUUAUAUGAAGUCCCUCCUUCCUCCACAGCUUCUUUAGCCAAAUCCUUCCAUUUCUUGGCAUUCUUUCUAAUUUCUUCACCUCCCAUCACCAUUUCCAAGCAUCUUUUUAUCUCACCAGCUUCAACCAUUCCAUCUUCAUUCUGUCUUAGACGUACACCUGUUUUCCAUACAUCUUGGACGAGCUUGGAAUUGGUUCCUUGGUCUACCCAUUGAGGAAAUGUCACCAUAGGUACCCCCGAAACCAAGCUUUCGAACGUCGAGUUCCACCCACUGUGUGUUAAAAAACAUCCGAUCGAUGGGUGGGAAAGAACUUGCACUUGUGAGCACCAUGGCACUAUCAUCCCUAUCUUUUUCAGUUCAUUUAACCUACUCAAUGAAUCCUUUUCUUGUUCAUCAGUACUUUCCCUUAUCACCCACAAAAAUGGACGCCCAGUUUCAAGCAACCCCUUCGCGAGUAGCUCCAUUUGUGGUUUAGCCAAUGUGGAAAGGCUCCCAAAUGCGACAUAAAUGACUGAUGUUUCAGGCUUUGUGUUGAGCCAUUCCAUUUCUUUAUGCUCUUUUGUGACCUUGAAAAGAUCACCUCCCAUGGAUGUUUCAGCAAGGUUUGGCAUUAGUGGUCCGAUUCCGACCAUACUGUACCACUUGUCAGCCGCUUUUAUGGCUUCAGUUUCUAAUAGGUCGAACGUGUUAACUAAAACUCUGGGGUUGGUCUCUUGGUCAAGAACUUGUACAUGUUCUUUCAUGGUUAAGAGUGGCAUAGCUUGUGGAUUGGACGGGAUGAAAAAGGAAGGUAAAUCAUGGCGAGAAAGCGGUGGCAGCCCCGGCAUCUGAACUGUAAACGUGGGGUCAUCGAUGUUUUUGGUAAUGAUCUCAUCGUAUCCCUUGAAGUAAUGGUAACAGAUGUUCAAAAGAGAAGCAGGUUGGAACCAGAGGAGGGUGGCUGGGAUGUGAAACUCACGAGCCACCGUUGCCACCCAAGGGAGAAGAGUACAGUAAACAAUGGAAGUGAACCUAGUGCCUUGAUCAGCAAGAAACUCUCUCAAGCAUUGAGUACCGUGACGCUUUGUCUCGGACAGGUAAUGAUUCGUGUCACCGGAAAGUUGAAAGGCAUGGUCAUAGCCGUCGGAGUAAUAGGCGUAGGACAAGCCAUGGACAGGUGAAGCUUUGUUGAAUUGGUGAAUCAUGGAAGAAACCGACAUCAACGUGACGUGGACACCACUGUUGAUGAGUUUAUUUGCAAAUUGAAGGGAAGGGUUAAUGUGGCCUUGAGAAGCGAAAGUUACUAAGAGGACUUGGGGGGGUUGUUGUUGUUGGUCCGCCAUUGAAGGACAGAUGAUGAGUCGGUAUUCUAGUUAUAACUUGACAGUUAAUGGAAUGAGGAUAAUUGCAGAGGCUGCUAUGGGUUCUUAUACACACCAAAAAAAGAAGAAGUAAUAAUUGGAGUUGAAAAUGUGACGUUUGCGGUGACGCCCCGCUCAAUUGAAAAUGCUUUUUAAGUUAAAAUAGUCUGUACAUAUAUAUAUAUACACGAAAGGUUUCGAAGAUUGGAUUAUGCAUUUCAUUCAUCCCCUGGCAUUUGUGAAAAGUACGAGGAUACGACGAUUCACAAGUUUGUAGCCAAGUUUAGUGAUAAUCGCGUGUAUCCUCUAUUAUUUCUUCAUUCUUAAAAUAUUUAUCAUAUAAAAAUGUAAAAUUAAAAUAAUUUUACACAAAUAUAUUCAUAGAGAUAAUACAUAUAAAAUAGAGAAUUUGAUUGUGCAACAAUAUUUAUUAUUAUGAACCUUACCAAUGGACAAGUUAUGGGAUUAGAAUCUUUAAGAGGCUGCUAUGGUUUUCUUUUUAUAAUACACAAUUGGAAUUGAGAAUUGACGUUUGCGAUGAUGCAGCCGCCGGGCAAUGCCUUCUGUAAAGUGGGUGAUGCUGAAAUACACACAAUCCAAUCUGAUUCAGAAUUGGUGAAAUUCAAUGUUAUUACUAACUUCAAACUUUAUAUUUUUAAAUUACAACAUAAUCCACACCAAACCACUGCUCACUUAAGUACACAACUUUCUAAUUCACUUCAAUUUCAAAUUUUAUAAAUUAUAGGGAUUAAAUUUGAUAAAAUUAGGACAUAAAUACUAAAUUUACAAUCUAAGGAUAGUGCAGGGACUAAUAACAGAAUUUAACUUCUCUGAAUUAAUAUUUCGAGGGUAAAACACUUCUCUAGUCUCUCUUAAUUUUGAAACUGUCAAUUAGUCUCUCUUUCGUCAAUUGUGUAUAAUUUUGAUAUAGUAACAAAUUUAUCCCUCAAUGUUUACAUAUAUAUAUAUAUAUUUUUAAUUUGAGUUUGAUUUUAAAAAAUUCAACAAAUUUAAUCUCAAACAUUUACAUAUUUGCAAAAAUAUUGUGGGUUAAAUUUAUUAAAUUAUGAUCAAAUUGAUAGAAUGUGUAAAUUAUCAGAGCUAAAUUUGUUAUUAUACUAGUCAAAUUCAUGUAAAAUUGUUUAAAAAUAUUAUUUCUUUUAUUAAUUGUCUUUAGUUGCUUACUUUCGAAAUUGACAGGAUUAAAUUGUUCUCAUCUUUUUUUUCGAGGGAUCAAUUUGUUUAAUAUUAAAAUUAAGAGGACCGGAGCGUAUGUUAACAUAUCCUUCAACAGAAACACGCCACGUAUUGAAACGUCGGUUCUAGCAAGUUGGAAAAGGCGGGCGGGUUCUACACUCCUCUAACAACCAACCACCAUUUUCAAUCCUACUUAGUUUAGCGUUCCAAGUAACUCUCCCUCCCACUCUUACCUUUCAAGCCCGUAAAGUCAUGAGCUUGGUUCUGGAACCUCCGCCUCCACCUCUAUCCAAAUCCAAAACCGGUGCUCCGCUCAAACGCUGCUUCACCUCCAUCCGCACCGCGUUAUCUCCGCCAAACCAUCGAUUCAGAGCCUCUCGUUUUCCACUUCAUCCGACUUCCAGCUCUAGACCAACUGUUACUGUGGUUCUAAAGACGGAGAAGGAAAAAAAUGCGGUGACGGAGCAAAAAGACCCGCCGGUAAGGAUUGUGGCAGUGGUCGGCCAAGGAAGCGUCAGCCCAUUAAAAUGCACCCCCUGGGAGGAGGUUAUGAUGCACACCGUAAGUGUUACUAUUUUUUACUUGAUAUUUUCUUAAAAUUCAUUUUUUUUUUCGUUCUCAUUUUACUUUUUGUUUAAGAUUUUGAAAGUUAUUUGGAAAAUCUUUUUUUUUCAUAUAGAUUUAAAAUUUCGACAAAAAAAUAAAGAAAAAAAGAGUCUAUGAUUUUACAAUUUUACUAACAUUGAUAGUAAAUUAAUUUAGUGUAGCAAAACUUGCAAUUGAACCUAAAAAGCUAUCAGUUUAUUUUGUAGUGUUGCAUUUACAUUAAUGGACUUUUUUAUUGAGCAAGUGGAAUUUUGAUAGUGCUAUUUUGGGAAUUAUAUAUGGUUUCUUGAUUGUUUAUGCUACUGAUCAGGCAAAAAGAUUGAAAUGGGUGGAUGAAGGAUAUGAAAUGGUUGUUUUCCCUGACAAUUUCCAUCAAUCUAAUGAUCAAACAGCCAUGGAUCUGCAAAAGGAAUUGGCUUGUGCAGAUAUUUUGCUAGUUGUAGCUGUUACUAAUCAAGACUCGGUGAAAUGGAUUGGGACAAAUAGCGGAAACAUCCCUAACGUAAUCUGCUUUGAAUCCGAUCCGGGUUUGGUUAACAAAUUAGGAGGCUCUUAUGUCCACAGUGAAAUGAAAGGAAGUAUCUUUGACAAAUUGGUGGGAAUUUCUCAACUGAAGAAAACAGAUGAAACAAAGGAAGUUGUGCAAACCGUAUCGGAGGCAUGGGACCGGUGUAAUUCUGACGAUAUAAGGUUCUGUUUGUUGGUUAUUAUCAAUGCUUAUAUUCAGCCAGUCCCGGUCUUGAAGAACUUGAGAUCAAAGGGCUUUUCAACCCUGAACUGUAUGGUGAAGAAUUGUGGACCUCAGAUAUUGGAUUGUCUUAUGGAUCCGAAUUGUAGGAAAGCACUUCAAUGCUUGAACAAAUGCAGCCCUGUAGAUCAGGUGUGUAAUUAUCGGUGUAUUGCUUCAUUUGAAAGUCCGAAACUAGAAGCAUUUUCUCUGUGUGUUCUUCAGAAAAACAAUUGUCUUGAUUUAGAUGCGAAGAUCCCCGAAAAGCCGUACGUGCAGCCUAUGCUUAAGUUUCGAGGGAAGGACUUGUGCCAUGAAACCGCCAAAGAUUUAUUUGUUGGUUGGUUGGGGAGUUUGGAUUGGAGUUGGCGAGUCGUAGCAGGACAGAACCCAGCCUAUGAUCAGUUCCCAUGUCAGUACCAGCUAUUUUACAGGGGAAAGGCGAAGGGAUCGUUUUGGUACGAGCCAGUUUUUCAGGUUAAAACUUUAGAAGGAGAAUUGGUUUGGAGGCGUCGUAAAUAUCGAGUCAAGAGAGCAAACGUUCCAGGGACAUUUUACUUCAGUGUCUUGGAUAACGGGGUUGUUUCGAACGAGUAUUGGACAAUCGUAGAUGUAUCAGAAGAUUUUAGCUGGGGUCUGUUCCAUUACCAUGGGGCAGCACGAGUGGCCGGACAAUCGUAUACUGGAGCAGUGCUGGUUAGUCCGGAUGGGACAUACCCUAAACAGACACAGAACAACAGAUUAUCUUCAGCUUUGGAGAAAUGUGGAAUUAAGGAAUGGGAAUUAUAUACGGUUGAUAACUGUGCAUGCCAAGAUCCUCCAUUAGGAAUUCCAGAAGGUUCAAGUUUACAUUCAAUGGUUGAUGCAAAAGACCAGAGCUGGAGCUCAGUUUAAGGAUGGCCUAAUGUUCAUGAAUUCCUAGAGUGAAUAGGUGAGUUUCGAAGUUAGAAUGUGACAUUUUGAUUUUUUCAUUUUUAAUACCUGAAACUAAAUUUUAAAGUCUUUCACUAACAGUUAAUAGAGGCGUUCCAUAUAGAACCACCCUCCAAAAAUAGGCGUAUGCCGCUAAGAGCCGCGAGCACACGGUAUUCUUUAGUAAAAGGCGAAAGAAUAGUUCGCUUUGUGCUCACCGCACGGCUCCUUGAUUUUUAUAUCUCCAUUAGCUCUUUAAUUUAUGGAAGUGGGUUGGGAUGCUGUUUUAUGUAUUGAGGCGAUGUGGGAUCCUUUUCCUCCAAUUUCGACUGUUUUUAGGGUUUAGGGGCCUGCAGUUCUCCACUCCUCUGCUAAAUUUCACACUUUUCUAUAACGUUUUCCUCUCAUUUUUUAAUCCUCUAAUUUUAUAAGCUAAUAUGGUACAAUAAAUUCCUAAUCCUAUGUUUGUUUUUAUUGGAUUUUUGUCUUGUUUGAAUAAAUAUAUCUCCUACUUUUCUUUGAAAUAUUUAGAUUUUGAAAUGAAUGUAAUCUUUUACUUAAAUUAUUUUGUUAAUUUAAUAAAAUGUUUCUCAGAAAUAAAUAAAUAAAAGAAUUUAAACCUAUAAAUUUCAGCAAAGUUUGCCUGUACGCCAUUUCCUCCGGGAUAAUAUAAUUUUUUGCACUUAAACUUGACAAUUAAAUUUAUUUUAGUGUAUUUUUUUUAAUUUAUUUUGAUACUUAAACUUGAGUUAGAUUCAUUUUGGUUCCUAAAUUUAAAAAAAUAUAUAAGUGUGAUGAUUUGGCACAAUCUCAUUGUGCCACAUCAUUACUUGAAAAUUAAAAAAUAUAAAAAAUUUUAAAUAAUGACGUGGUAUAAUUGCUAGAUCAAUAAUAAUCAAUUAAUUAAUUAAUUAAAAUUUUAUAAACAAUUUAUUAAAUUGGUUCAACCACUUUGUUCGAACUAAUAUAUCAGUCUAUUUUUAGUUCAAUAGGCCCAGCUAAUCAGUCUUGAAUCUAAUUGACAAGUUCAAGUAUAAAAAUGAAUAAAAAAUAUAUAAAUACUAAAAUAGACUUAAUUAUUAAGUUAAAUGGCUAAAAAUUGUAUUAUCCCUAAGAAUUAACAUCUUUAGUGCCAAAGAAGCAAAUGUCAGUGUUAACUAUUAAGUGAUAAAUGAUUUUUAUUGGUAUUAAAUUUCCCUGGACAACCAACCCUUCUAUCCGUUGAUAUAAGAAGGCAAAUGCGAGCUAGUAUACGUAAUUUGUAAAAAUAUGGUUCUGUAGUCUUAGCCUAUAGGGAUGGGUGUAUGGAGGCUAACAUAUCCAUGGCAUUAGCAGUUUGUGAAGCUUUUUCAUGGCUAAAGGAGAAGAGGGUCGCUGCUGUCAUCGUAGAAACGUAUCAUUCAAGUUGUAUAAGUUUGUAAUAAUCCAACAGAAGACGAAUUUGAAUUGGGUCUAGUGGCUAAUAAUGAUUGUUUUGGAUUGUAAAAUACUAUACUAAACUAAAGAACAAUUUGAAAAAAUUGAAUUUACUUAGAAAUCUUUUUAGUAUUCAUAUCUGCCUUCAUCAAUUAAACAUAUGAUGUUUAUAUAUUUGAAAAUGAAUAAUUGCUCCUAACCAAUUAUACACCAGACUCAGCAACUGACUAAUAACAAACUAACAAUCCCUAAUCUCUUUACUCUAACAUUCAUCCAGCUUCUCAAGGGGUAAGACUUGAAGUAAACUUCGAAACCGAGCAAAAUUAGAGAAGGAUAAUGGUUUAGUAAGAAUAUCUGCAACCUGGUCACAUGCUGGUACUUCACCAACCAUAAAGGAGCCACUAGCCACAUUUUCACGAACAAAAAAUAAGUCAAGUUCGACAUGUUUAAAUUUGGAGUGUAACAUUGGAUUAGCAGUAACAGCAACUGUACUGGAAUUAUCACACCAAAUAGCAGGAGGAUCAGUAGAACCGAUUUGUAAUUCUGUAAGUAGAGAAACUAGCCCCGCAACAUCACUAGUAGUUGUAGCCAACUUCUAUAUUCAGCCUCAGCUGUAGAGCAAGAAACAACUUGCUGCUUUUUAGAGACAGGUGUAUGACCAAAGUAGACGUAAUAGCCUGUAGUGGACCGACGGUCAUCAAAAUCUAGGCCUCAGUUGGCAUCUGCAUAACCCACUAAAGAUUGUUUGUCAGAUCGACAAAACACUAGCCCAUAACUAAUAGUGCCAUGUAAAUACCUCAAUAUACGUUUUAACGCUACCAUAUGAAUUGUAGUAGGGGCAUGCAUGAAUUGACACACAUGAUUUACUGCAUAUGCAAUAUCUGGCCGGGUUAAAACCACGUAUUGAAGAGCUCCAGCAAGACUUCUAUAUUCAGUAGGGUCAGCAAGACGAGUACCCUCAUCUUUAGAUAAUGUAGAAGAACAAAUCAUUGGCGUAUGAACACUUUUUUGCAUUAGCCGGAGAACACCUGUCAAGAAGAUCCUGAAUGUAUUUGCACUGACAUAAGUGGAGACUACUAGUAGAUGAUCAACUGACUUUAACACCUAAAAAAUAAUGAAGAUCAUCCAAAUCCUUUAGGGAAAAUUCGUUAUGCAGUUGCUGAACAAAACAGUUUAUCUCAUCAGUCAAGCUUCCAGUAAUAAUAAUACCAUCCACAUAAAUCAAGACAUAAAUGAUGGACUUGGUUGCAACUUUAACAAACAAGGAAGCAUCAGAUUUAGCCAAGAAAAAUCCAUUAGAGAUAAGAAAUUGCUUUAAUUUAUCAAACUAGGCACGUGGAGCUUUGUAACAACCUAAUUUUUAGUGGUGUCAGAAAUAGUGCUUCGAGACUACUAAAAUCUGACAAGUGAGCUCAUAAAUUUUAUUAGUUAGUGUUUAUGAGCUAAUUGAGAAUUUAAGAAAGCUAAGAAUUAGUGAUUUGUGUUUUAGAAGGAAUUAUUAGGUUAAGUGAUUUUGAAAACGAGGUAUUGAGACCUUGAUUUCAUAAAUCGAGUUGUAAAUAUUUUUAUAAAUAUUUACGGAGUAUUACUGAGAUAGUAGUAAAAUUUCGUUAGAAAAUUUUAACGUUUUCAUAAUUAAUUAAAUAAAAAGGACUAAAUUGUAAAAAAACUAUAAAUUUGGGGUAAAUCUGUAAUUUCAAAAAUUGAAGGGUAUAAAUUGUAACGUGGAAUGAGGCUGAAAUAUGUGCUAAUGGAUGAAUAAUUUUAUAUUUUAGAUUAAGAGCCCAAAGAAAAUCAUGGAAAAGAGAAAUUAUUUGAAUAGUUCCUCAGCUACAACAAAUUUUACAAAUUAGCCAAGGUAAGUUCGUAUGGUUAAACUUUAAUGUUAAAUGUUAAAUUGAUAAAUGAUAUUAUGUAAUUGUUCAUGUUAUUUGUUGAAAAUAAAAUUAUUGUUAAAAUCACAAAAUUGAAGUGAAUUUUCAAAGUGAACGAGACGCGGGAUUGGGUACAAUCGUUCAGUAUAAAAGAGGAAUUGACAGCAAAUUAUCCAAGUAAACCGGGGUUCAGCAUUUGUUGCAAACUCCCAUGUUUGCUUUCAUUUUAGUUCUCAUGAGCUUCAGUUAACUCAUAUGAGUUUCUGUUUAACCCUAAUGGGUUUUUGUUUAGCUCUUUCGAGCUUCAGUUUAACCAUAUGGGUUUCCGUUCAGCUCCUAUGAGCUUCCGUUCAACCUUCAUGGGUUUCUGUUUAGCACUCAUGUGCUUCUGUUCAGCCUUCAAGCCUCUAUAUACGAUGUACUCAUACCCAUAAGACGUUCUCCGAUUUGACAAAAGUUGGUAAGUGACAUUAGGAAUUCAUGAUUGAAGAUUUAAAGUUAUUAUUGAUAAUGAUCUGAAAUAAGUGAAUUCAUCGAUUGAAGUUGUGUUUGGUAGGAAUUAUAUAUUGAAUGAUUUAUUUGAAUAAUUUGUUAUAGUAUGUUCGGUAAGAUUUAUGUUUAAAGCCAACGAACUUAAUAAGCUUCAUUAAGCUUACUCGUGUUGUUUAAUGUUCUUUGUAGAUUAGCAUGAGAUCGGUAGAUCAGAUCAACACAUCAAGCUACACUAUCCAGACUACUCUGGUAGAUUUUGUUGUACAUUUUAUGGUUUAUAUGGCAUGUAUAAGGAUGGAUUAAAAAGGGUUAAACUUGUAUGUAUAAUUAUGAUUGUUAGUUAAGUACAUAUGAGUGUUUGUAUGUAUGUAAAUAAAAUUAGGCUUUGGUAAAUAAUGAAUGAAGUUAGUUUGUGAAAUUUAAGCAUUUGAUUUAUGGGUCAAUUUAUUAUGUCAAAUACAUGUUUUGGUUUGAAUUGGUUGCUUGGUUGAGAGAUAUUUGUGUAUUUCAAUGUUGAGUGCAGGUGGAUAAUAAAAGGGUGAGAAAAAUGGCCUUAAAAUGGCCUAGUUUCGUCCACAUGGGCAGAGACACGGGCGUACGUCUCAGCCGUGUGUCACACACGGCUUGGUGUAUGGGUGUGUAGUUUGGCCGUGUAUCCCCUGCACCUUAAAAUCACAAAAUAGAAUCCGUGUGACCCAUGCACUUCACACACGGCCUAACACACGGGCAUGUGGUUAGCCAUGUGACCCAAGUCAGCAGCUACCCUAAUUUGGAAACAACCUAAGACACAGACGUGUCUCCUAGCCGUGUGAGCCACACGGUUGGCCACCCUGCUCUUAAGAAAAAUUUUAAGAUUUUGGGAAAAAUUUCCUAAGUGCUCGAUUUAGUUCCGAUUCACUUCUAUUGUGUAUUUUGGGCCUCGAUGACCCAUCUAAGGGAAAAUAUGAGUGUAUUAUGAUUGAUUCUUAAUAUGAGUAAUAAAGUUGUGAAAUGUCUAUAUUUAAUUCGUAAAGUUCGGUAAUGCUCCGCAACCCUAUUUUGGCGACGGAUAAAGGUUAGGGGUAUUACAUUUAUUGGUAUUAGAGCUUCGGUUAGCCGAUUCUCGAAAUGAAUAUUAUGUACAAAGUGUCUGAAAAUACAUGCCAUAUAAAUCUGUGAUAGUGUGAUAUGUACAAUCUGGUCUAAUAUUUGUUUUUCUUAUAGAUUGUAAAGAUGUCUGAUAGAUCUGAACAUGUUGAACGUGAUGAAGCUAAUAGCAGAGUACAAAUAUCUGAACACGAGACAAGUAGUAGUGUUUCAAUUUUUUCGAUGCAAGAACAACAACUCAAAAAUAUGUUUUAUGGGUUUAUGAACAAAUGGUUUAAUGAGAUGAUGUAAGAAAGAAAUCAGGCUCAGCAACCUCCCCCCUCUACUGUUCGAUUGUACAUCCACCUCUUUUAGUAACUGAAUUCAGUAAACGUACUUCAGUAGAAAAACUCAGAAAAUUUGGAGCCGAAGAUUUCAGGGCAGGACAGAUGAUGACCCGGUCAAAUUUGAGAAUUGGCUUCAAAAUACAAUAAGAGUUUUUAGAGAAAUGGCUUGUUCCCUAGAUGAUUAUUUGAUAUAUGUUGUUUCUUUAUUAAAAGAGGAAGCUUAUAAUUGGUAGAUGGCUAUAGAAGUUGUGGUACCGGAAGAGAAAAUUUCUUGGGAAUUCUUUCAGAAUGAAUUUAAAAAGAAAUAUGUUGGCAAGAGGUAUAUGGAUAAAAAGAAAAGAGAAUUUAUCGAUCUAUGACAAGAAAAUCGAUCAGUAGCUGAAUAUAAGAGAGAAUUUAUAUAUCUCAGAAAAUAUGCUCGUGAAAUUGUACCAACCGAAGAGGAAAUAUGUAUCCGUUUUGAGGAGGGAUUAAAUGAUGAAAUUAGAAUGUUGAUUGAGGGUACAGAAAUACGGGAAUUUGUUGUUCUGUCAGAUCAUGCUCAGAAAAUGGAAGAAGUAUAUAACAGAAAAAUGUAACGAGAGAGACGAAAUAAAGAAUCUUACAAAAGAAGCUCCUCCAAAUCAUUUUCAACAUUUCCGACUAAAAAACCUAGAGAGGAGUCCAAUCGAGCCACUUCAAUGUCUAAGUGAUCAAAUAAAAACAUGGCGACUCAACAAGAUUUUGGAGUAACUAUUAGACCUACAGCUAGUGUGGGUAGUGUACAGAAUGUCCCUAGAAUUAAAUGCAAAUAUUAUGGAAAGUAUCAUCCGGGUGAAUGUAGAGGAAAAAUGGGAGCUUGUUAUAAAUGCGGAGCCACUGACCAUUUCAUUCGAGACUGUCCUCAAUGCAAAAAGAAGAAGAUGAACAAAAAGAAAAAUAAUUAGCCACUUUCCAAAGAAGUAAACGUUCAGGCCAAAGUAGUGCUACUGGGGCUACCCGUUCGAAUAUGAGAGAUAAAGCUGUUUGGUUAGAGCCUAAGGCACCUACACGUGCUUAUGCUAUCCGAGCUAGAAAGGAAGCAACAACUCCAGUCGUAAUUGCUGGAAUUUUCUAUCUUUUCGAUAUUACUGUGUAUGCAUUGAUUGACUCUGGGUCUACACAUUCUUAUGUUUGCACUGCAUUAGCAUCAGAAAAGAAAUUGUUUGUUGAACCCACUGAUUAUGAUGUUCAAGUCACUAAUCCAUUAGGUCAAAGUGUGAUAGUUAAUGUAAUGUGUCGAAAUUGUCCACUAAAAGUGAAAGGCUGUGAAUUCCCUGCUAAAUUGAUAUUGUUACCCUUUCAAGAAUUCGAUGUUAUUCUGGGAAUGGAUUGGUUAACAAAGCAUGAUGCAGUAGUAAACUGUAAAGAGAAAAGGAUUAAUCUGAAAGGUUAGACAGGAAAAGUGAUUACUGUUGAGUCUGCUAAUCCGAAAGAAAUUGUUAGAAUUAUUUCAGCAUUUUUAGCCUAGAAAUUAAUGCGAAAAGGUAACGAGGCAUUUUUAGCCUGUAUUCUUGAUACUCGGGGUUCUAAAUCAAAGUUAGAACAGUUACCAGUUGUUAAUGAAUAUUGAUGUAUUUUUUGAGGAAUUACCUGAUUUACCACCUAAUUGUGAAUUGAGUUUGUAAUUGAUGUGGUUUCGGAAACAGCUCCAAUAUCAGUAACACCAUACCGUAUGGCACCAGCUGAGUUAAAAGAAUUAAAGUCACAGUUGUAAGAUUUAUUAGACAAAGGAUUCAUUAGACCGAGUAUGUCUCCUUAGGGUGCACCUGUCUUAUUUGUGAAAAAGAAAGAUGGUUCUUUGAGACUGUGUAUAGACUACAGACAUUUGGACAAGGUCACAAUUAAAAAUAAAUACCAUUUGCCACAUAUUGACGAUUUUUUGAUCAGCUGAAUGAUGCUGCAGUAUUUUCAAAGAUAGACCUCAAAUUCGGGUAUUAUUAGUUGAAAGUUAAAGAAUGUGAUGUGCCAAAGACUGCUUUCAGAACUCGGUAUGGUCAUUAUGAAUUUCUAAUAAUGUCAUUCGGCUUGACUAAUGCGCCUGCUGCUUUCAUGGAUUUAAUGAAUCAAAUUUUUCAACCUUAUUUAGAUAGAUUUAUGGUUGUGUUUAUCGAUGAUAUAUUGAUCUAUUCUAAGACAGAAUCGCAACACUUAAGAAUUGUGCUACAGAUUUUGAGAGAAAAACAGUUGUAUGCAAAGUUUAAUAAAUGUGAAUUUUGGCUAUACAAGGUUAGAUUUCUAGGCUAUAUUGUGGCAGCUGAAGGGAUUCGUGUGGAUUCGAGCAAAGUAUCUGCAGUGGUGAAUUGGAAAAUUCCAAAAAAUAUAAUAGAAGUGCAAAGUUUUCAGGAUUAGUAAGAUACUAUUGACGUUUUGUCAAGAAUUUUUUGAUGAUUGCUUCAUUGUUAACCUGACUAUUACAGAAGAAUAUUGAAUUUGUGUGGUCUAAUGAGUGUCAACAGAGUUUUGAUCAUUUGAAGAAGAUGUUAACAGAGGCUCUAAUUUUAACCCAGCCAGAAUCGAGUAUACCAUAUGUUAUUUAUAACGACGCGUCUCUAAAUGGUUUGGGUUGUGUAUUAAUGUAGUCGGGAAAAGUACUAGCCAAUGCUUUUCGGCAGUUAAAACCGCACGAGAGAAAUUAUCCUUCACAUGAUCUUGAGUUAGCUGCAAUUGUGUUUGCUUUAAAAAUCUAGAUACACUAUUUAUAUAGUGAGAAAUGCUAUGUGUAUAUAGAUCACAAGAGUUUGAAGUAUUUGAUGACUCAGAAAGAGAUGAACUUGAGAUAGAGACAAUGGUUAGAGUUGCUCAAAGAUUAUGAUUUGGUUAUUGAUUAUCACCCAAGAAAGGCUAAUGUAGUUGCAGAUGCACUUAGUCAAAAAUCGUCACUAUUUGCACUUCGGGGGAUGAACGCUCAUUUAUUUCUUAAUGAAGAUGAUUCUGUAUUAGCAGAAUUGAGAGCAAAACCUGUGUUUCUUCAGCGAAUUCGAGAGUUGCAAGAUGAUGAUCCAAAAUUAGUGUUGAAGAGACAGAUGGUUCGGGACAAUUUGAGUUCAGAGUAUACCAUUGAUGAUAGUGGUAUGUUGUAUUAUCGUAACACAAUUUAUGUUCCGAAUAAUUCAGACUUGAAAAAUGACAUUCUUUCCGAAGCUCACAGUAGUAUGUAUUCUAUUCAUCCGGGUAUCACGAGAAUAUAUUGUAAUUUAAAAAAGAUGUAUUGGUGGCCUAGUAUGAAAUGGGAAAUCUAUGAGUUUGUUGAAAUAUGUCUGAUUUGUCAAUACGUCAAAGCAGAACAUCAGGUACCAACAGGUUUGUUGCAACCUGUCAUGAUUCCUAAAUGGAAGUAGGAGCAUGUCACUAGGGAUUUUGUAUCUGGAUUGCCUAUGAAUCAAAGAAAGAAAGAUUUGAUCUGAGUGAUUAUGGAUAGAUUGACUAAGUCAGCACAUUUUAUUUUAGUCAGAACAGAUUUUUCACUCGAGAAGUUAGCAGAAUUAUAUAUGUCUGAGAUUGUAAUACUGUAAUGACCCAAAAUUUACGGGCAUCGGAAAAGUACAAUAUCGAGCCUCCGUCUUAGUAAAUCGAGUUUGAAAAUAAUUAUUAAAAAUAUUUAUGAGUCUAGUGAUGUAAUUAAUUAGGUUUAAAUUAGGUGAAUUUAGCUUAAUUUAGAGUAAUUAGUAAAAAGGACUGAAUUGAAUAAGGUGUAAAAGUUCAAUUGUAAAGUAAAAGAAAAUAAAAGGGACUAAAUAGGUAAAUAAGCUAAUGGCUUAAGAUGAGGCUGCAAUACAUGGAAAAAUCUUAGAUUUUUCUUGAUUUAUGUUAUAAAAAUAUUAUUUAAUUAAAAUAUUAUAAAUUAUAUUAAUUAAAGUUAAGAUAUUAUAUUAUAGGAAAUAAAUAAAAUAAAGAUAAUUGCAUGGUAAUAAAAUAUACAUGUGUAAUAAUCAUAUUUGUACAAUUGUAAAUUAAAUACUUAAUUAUUUUUUAUUUAAGUAAAAAGAUAUUUAUUAUUUAUUAUAAUUAUUAAGUUAAAAGAUAUUUAUUAAUUAAAUAAUUAUAUUAUAAGAUUUUUUUAUGAUAAAUAAAUUAAAAUUUUGCCAAAUGGAUGGUGAUGAUAUUGUUCAAAUGUACAAAAAUAUAUGUGUACAAUUGUAGUAUUUAUACUUGUUAUUAAAUAGAUAUUUAUUAUAGUGUAUUAUUAUUAUUAAUUUAUUAAUUUAUAAUUUAUAUUAAUUAUAUUAUGAGAUUUUUAUAGGAUGAAUAAAUAAAAAUAUGACAAAUGUAUGAUGAUGGAAUAGUACAUGUGUAAAAUAUGUAUUUAAACAUUUGUAUUAUAAUGAUAUAUUUUCUUAAAUUUUAAGUAAAGAUAUUUGUAUAUUAUAUAUUAAAUUAUUAUAUUAAUAAAAAUCUAUAUUAGUUAAAUGUUAAAAGAAUAUAAAGUAAAUAAUAAAAAGAAACAAAGCAAAAGGAAAAAAGAAAGAAAGCAGAUAACAUUUCGAAAGUAGCAGGAAGAAAGAAAGAAAGAAAAAUAAAAGGAAAAAUUAGGAUUUUAAAGUUUGAAGUUUAAAUAGGUAAGUCAAUUAAGUCUUUUUCUUUGUGAUUUUGAUGUUUUAGAAGCUUUAGAACAAAGUUUUGUUGAAAUUAAGUUGAGGUUUUAGAAGUUCUUAGGAUUUUUAACGUAGUUUAUGUUGAACAAAAUGAUGAAUUAGAGGUUUAAUUGAAUGAAUUUCAAGUUAGAAUUGAUUAAAGGAUUAAAUUGUAAAAGAAGCUAUAAGUUUUGUGAUAGGGGGAUUAAAUUGAAAGAAAUUUUAAAUUAGGGUUUUAUUAUGAACACUUGAUGGUUAAGUUGAAUUUGAUAGGAAUUUGAAUAGAGAUGAAAUAUAAAUUGAGUUAGAAAAGUAAAUGGGUUAAUUAGGAUUAAAUUGGAAUAAGGGUAUAAAUUGAAUAGAAAUUCAAUUAUUAUUAUCAAUUAGUGUUGUAAUUAAUAGUAUAAAUUAUUAUUUUCGUAGCUAACAAGGAAUUCGAGGCAUUGGCAUACAAAGGAAAGGAGAAAGCUAUCGAUGACUAAAACAAGAAAUUCACGAUUUGUAUUACUAUAAUUCGAGUUAUUUUUAUUAAAUGUUAAAUUUUUAAUUAUAUGUAUGGUAAGUAAAUUAUGAGGUAAGUAUUAUUAUGGAAUUAAAAAGGAAAUUGAAUUGAUGAUGGAUAAGUAUUGAUAUUGAAUUGUAUAUUAAUGAAAAGUGAAAUUGAAUUGAUUCGUAAAUGAAUUGAAAGUGAUAUUGAAUUGAAAAAGUGAACCGAAUACUCUAUUAACUAGUCGGGCUGAGUCGGAUAUAGUUGGCAUGCCAUAGGACUGGAAGAGUUCAAGGAUUCUUCAACCUUGAGUCGAUGGACACUGGGUGUCACUAUUUUACUUCGGAUAGAUUCAAUGAGGUACUGGGUACCACUUUACUUCGGCUAGGCCGAUGAGACACUGGGUGUCACUAUAUUGCUUCGAACUAUCCGAUGAUGCACUGGGUGCCAUUUUGGUGUAUUUGGUUGGAUCUGAGUAUUUGCCAAUGCCUGAGUUUUGUUAAUAGGGUAAAUAAACUGAAAAGGGAAAAACAGAAUAGAAUGAGGAAUUUGUACUUAUAGAGUGAAAUGUGAAAUGAAGAUGAGAAAAUGUGAUUUAGAUAAAUGAACCAAAGGCUCAAAUGGCUAAUAGUACUUGAAUGUGAUAUUCAUGAUAUUGAGUUGAUAAUUAGUUAAAAUGAAUAGCAAUAGAUAUAAAAUAAAGUUAAAGUGUGAAUUUGUACUAUAUGUGAGUAUAUGUUCUAUAGCUAAAUAUGUAAAGUUCAUUUGGUUAUUUAUAAUUUGAAUUAUAGUAAUAUCACUGAGUAUGAAAUACUCAGCGUACGGUUGUUUCUGUGCGUAGGUCAGUAGGAGUACAGAGUCUCGGUCUAGCAUCUAGAGCAAUCCUGACUCUAGCACAAAAACUUGGUGAUGUAUUCUUCUUUUGGUAAAAGUGGCAUGUACAUAGAUAUUGUUUUGGUCACUUAACAACGCUAUAUGAUUCUAGUUAUAAAGUAUGGAUGGUUUGUAAUGUUUUGAACUAAGUUUUAAGUGAAAUGGUAAAUAGUAUAUUAUAAAAUUUAGCAUUAAGGUUGAAUGGAAAAUAAAUCAAGUUAUUAGUCAAUUUGAAUGAUAUUAUGAAUGUUUAAUUAUUAAAUUACUAUGUGAAUGAAUUGGUUAUGAUAUAAGUGUAUUUAAGUAUAAAUUGUUUUUAGUUGUGGUUUGAAAAUUUCAGGGUAGGUUAGAUGUUUAUAAAGGGGUUAUAUUGAGUUAAAAAAAAUUACGAAAAAUUUUUGAAGCACCCGAACAAGUCCCAAUUUGCUCUUAUUAUGUAUUUUUGGGCUUCGAGGAUCCAUUAAAGGGACUUAAUGAUUAAAUUAUACUAUGUAUGUUAUUUUAUUUUUGAAUUAUUCGUAAAUUUUUUGAUAUGUCUGGUAAUGCUCCGUAACCCUGAUUCGGUGACAGUUUAGGGUUAGGGGGUGUUACAAAUACUACAUGGGAUUCCAACAUCUAUUAUUUCAGAUCAAGAUCGAAGGUUUACAUCCAGAUUUUGGAAUAAACUACAAGAAGCUUUGGGUACUAAGUUAAAUUUCAGCAUAGCAUUUCAUCCUCCUAUUGACGGACAAUCAGAACGAGUGAUUUAGAUUUUAGAGGACAUGUUGAGAUGUUGUAUAUUCGAGUUUGAAAAUAGAUAGGAAAGGUAUUUACCUUUACCUGAAUUUGCUUAUAAUAAUAGUUACCAAUGCAGCAUAAAAAUUACACAAUUUGAAGCUCUUUAUGGAAGAAAAUAUAAGACUCCAUUGUUUUGGUCUGAAUUGAGUGAAUCCAAGUUAGUUGGAGUCGACUUGAUCCGAGAAACUGAAGAAAAAAUUUAAAUCAUUCAAGAUAGUUUGAAAGCUACUUCAUACUGUCAGAAAUCAUAUGCAGAUUUAAAAAGAAGAGAUAUAUAAUUUUCGGUUGGCAACCAAGUGUUUUUAAAAGUCUCAUCGUGGAAGAAAGUAUUACGGUUUGCCAGAAAAGGGAAAUUGAGUCCAAGAUUUAUUGGACCGUAUGAGGUUAUUGAAAGAAUUGGUCCUAUGGCUUAUGGGUUAGCUCUACCUUCAGAAUUUGAGAAGAUUCAUAACGUGUUCCAUGUGUCGAUGUUAAGAUGGUACAGAUCAGAUCCUUCACACACGAUUCCUCAUAGUGAAUUUGAAAUACGACCGGAUAUGACGUACUUGGAAGAGUCGAUAAAGAUUUUAGCUCGAGAAGUUAAAGAAUUACAGAAUAAACGAGUACCAUUAGUUAAAGUGUUGUGGCAUCAUCAUGGUUCAGAGGACACAACCUGCGAAACAGAAGAAUCAAUGAAAUUACACGAACUUAUUUUCAGGUAAUAAAUUUCGAGGACAAAAUUUCCUAAAUGGGGGAGAGUUGUAACAGCCUAAUUUUCAAUGGUGUCAAAAAUAUUGGUUUGAGACUACUAAAAUCUGACAAGUGAGCUCGUAAAUUUUAUUAGUUAGAGUUUAUGAGCUAAUUAAGAAUUUAAGAAAGCUAAGAAUUAGUGAUUUGUGUUUUAGAAGGAAUUAUUAGGUUAAGUGAUUUUGAAAAUGAGGUAUCGAGACCUUGAUUUCAUAAAUUUAGUCGUAAAUAUUGUUAUAAAUAUUUAUGGAGUAUUAUUGAGCUAGUAUUAAAAUUUCGUUAGAAAAUUUUAAUAUUUGAUAGUUAAUUAAAUAAAAAGGACUAAAUUGUAAAAUAUGCAAAAAAAUGCUAAAGUGAUUAGAUAGCUCAAAUAAUAAAUAAGAAGGAUUUAAAGAGCAAUUUGGCCAAAUUACAAAGGCUGGACGGUAGGGAUAUAGAAAUUAGUAAGGAUAUAAUGUGAACUAAGGGUAAAAUUAGAAAUUUCGCAAAUUAACUAAAUAAAAUAAUAACUAAAUUGAAAUUCUAAACAAAUCUUCAUAUUUCUCCAGCCAAAAACAACCAUUGAAGAAUUCUUCCAAGCUGGUUUUUCAUGUUUCUACUCCAAGUGAGUUCAUUUCUUGUCUAUUUCUUGAAAUUUUUAUGUUUUUGAGACUUUUACAACUAGGUCCAACUAUAUGUUUCAUUUGUUUUUUAUUUCAUGGGUAAUUUUGAAAGUUACCAUAUAUGAGUGUUGUAUGUUUAUGAUGAAUUAACAUGGAUUUGAAACUUUAAUUUUAUUAUAUGAUGAUUUUAUUAAGUAAUUUUGAUAAAUAUUGAUUUUAGGACUAAAUUUGAAAAAGUUGAGAAUUAGGGUUUGGUAUUGAAAUUCUAAAUUAAAAAGGUUGUAUGGUAGCCUAAAAUAAUUAGAUAAAGUGCUAAUUGAGAAAAAAAAUAGAUCAGUUGAUGAGUUUAUUGAUGAGGGACUAAAUUGUAAAAAAACUAUAAAAGUUAGGGUAAAUGUGUAAUUUCAAAAAUUGAAGGGUAUAAAUUGUAAAGUGAAAUAAGGCUGAAAUAUGUGCUAAUGGAUGAAUAAUUUUAUAUUUUAUAUCAAGAGCCCAAAGAAAAUCGUGGAAAAGAGAAAUUAUCUGAAUAGUUCCUGAACUACAACAAAUUUUACAAAUUAACCUGAUAAGUUCGUAUGGUUAAACUUUAAUGUUAAAUGUUAAAUGUUAAAUGUUAAAUUGAUAAAUGAUAUUAUGUAAUUGUUCAUGUUAUUUGUUGAAAAUAAAAUUAUUGUUAAAAUCACAAAAUUGAAGUGAAUUUUCAAAGUGAAUGGGACGCGGGAUUGAGUACAUUCGUUUAGUACAAAAGAGAAAUUGACGACAAAUUACCCAAGUAAAUCGGGGUUCAGCAUUUGUUGUGAACUCCCGUGUUUGCUUUCAAUUUAGCUUUCAUGAGCUUCAGUUAACUCAUAUGAUUUUCUGUUUAACCCUAAUGAGUUUCCAUUUAGUUCUUUUGAGCUUUAGUUUGACCCUUAUGGGUUUCCGUUCAGCUCCUAUAAGCUUCCGUUCAACCCUCAUGGGUUUUUAUUUAGCACUUAUCUACUUUUGUGCAGCCUUCGAGCUUCUGUAUACAAUGUACUCAUGCCUGUAAGAUGUUCUCCGAUUUGACAAAAGUUGGUAAGAGAUAUUGGGAAUUCAUGAUUGAAGAUUUAAAGUUAUUAUUGAUAAUGAUCUGAAAUAAGUGAAUUCAUCGAUUGAAGUUGUGUUUGAAAGGAAUUAUAUAUUGAAUGAUUUAUUUGAAUAAUUUGUUAUAGUAUGUUCAGUAAGAUUUAUGUUUAAAGCUAACGAACUUACUAAGCUUCAUUAAGCUUACUCGUAUUGUUUAAUGUUCUUUGUAGAUUAGCGUGGGACCGGUGGAUCGAAUCAACACAUCAAGCUACACUAUCCAGACCACUCUGGUAGAUUUUUUUGUACAUUUUAUAGUUUAUAUGGCAUGUAUAAGGAUGGAUUAAAAAGGGUUAAACUUGUAUGUAUAAUUAUGAUUGUUAGUUAAGUAUACAUGAGUGUUUGUAUGUAUAUAAAUAAAAGUAGGCUUUGGUAAAUAAUGAGUGAAGUUAGAUUGUCAAAUUUAAACAUUUGCGUUAUAGGUCAAUUUAUUAUGUUAAAUACAUGUUUUGGUUUGAAUUGGUUUCUUGGUUUCAAUGUUGAGUGCAAGUGGAUAAUAAAAGGGUGAGAAAAAUAGCCUAUUUUUGUCCACAUGAGCAGAGACACGAGUGUCUGUCUCAGUCGUGUGUGACACACUUCCUGGAGCAUGGGCGUGUAGUUUGGCCGUGUGUCCCCUGCACCUUAAAAUUAUAAAAUAAAAUGCCUAGGUUUUUGCACACGGCCUAGCACACAGGUGUAUGAUUUGGCCGUGUGACUCCUGCACCUCACGCACAGCCUAGCACACGUGCCCAAGUCAGUAGCUACCCUAAUUUGGACAGGGGCAUGUCUCCUGGCCGUGUGAGCCACAAGGUUGGCCACACAGGCUUGUGUCCCCUGCUCUUAAGAAAGAUUUUAAGAUUUUGGGAAAAUUUUCUUAAGUGUUUGAUUUAGUUUUGAUUCACUUCUAUUGUGUAUUUUGGGCCUCAAGGACCCAUCUAAGGGAAAAUAUGAAUGUAUUAUGAUUGAUUCUUAAUAUGUGUAAUAAAGUUGUGAAAUAUCUGUAUUUAGUUCGUAAAGUCUAGUAAUGCUUCAUAACCCUAUUCUGACGACGGAUAAGGGUUAAGGGUGUUACAAGCUUGUCGUAAUUCAUACAAUGCCUUUGUUAGACGACACUCCAAAGCCUCACCAUUUACCCCAUAUUUAACAUAACUUGGCAGUUGCUGCAUAAACACUUCGUCAGUGAGAUCUCCAUUUAAGAAGGCAUUGUUUACAUCGACUUGAUGGAGUUGCCAACUAUUUGUUACGGCAAUAGAUAGUAUGGUUUGGGUAGUCGCAGGUUUGACUACCGAAGUAAAUGUUUCCUUGAAGUCACAUCCAGGUACCUGGGAACACCCUUUUGCCACCAAUCGUGCCUUUCGGCGAUCAAUCGUCCCAUCAGGAAUUUUCUUGACUUUGAAAAGCCAUUUGCACCCAAUUUGUUUUCGACCAUAAGGUAAAGACACAAGUUUCCAUAUAGAAUUAGCCAUUAAAGCACCAUAUUCAACUUGAACUACCAAUUUCCAUUCCUUAUGAGUAAGAGCCUCCUCAACAGUUCGUGGCUCAAUAUCAAUAGCCUCAACUAACAAAAUUUUAGGUUUAAAAAUUCUUUCCUUAGACCGAGUAACCAUAGUAUGAGUAUUUCCCGGAAGAACAUAAGAAGAAUUAGCAGACUUGGUGAUUGGGUCGGACAGAUUAGCUUCAGCCGAUGGAACAUCAAAAUGGUUAGAUCUAGAUUCAAUUGAUGAAUCAACUGAAACAAAUUGUAUUGGACUACACGUAGCUAGCGGAUCAACUAAAACAGAUUGCACAGGAUUGCCAGUCGGAGUAGAAUGUAAAAUGAGUGACAAUGUAAUGGUUUCUCUUAGUUCGACAGUGAAUCGAUCAGAGGGUGGCUGAACUACAAGAACAUAAGUAGUGACAAAUGCAUGAGACUUAACGGUGUCCAAAGUAGGCCAAGAAAACAAGAAUCAACACUCAUAAAAAAUAACAUGCCGAAAGAUAAUAAUCUUACCAUUCGGUGUGAGACAGUGAUAGCCCUUAUGUUGAGAGCUAUAUCCUAAAAACGUGCAUAGUUGUGAUCGAAACUCUAGCUUAUGAUGCAUGAAUGAACGUAAAUACAGAAAGCAACAACAGCCAAAAACCCUUAAAUGAUCAUAGGUCGGUUCAUGACCAUUAAGAGCCUAAUAUGGAUACUAACCUUUUAGGAUUAAAGUAGGCAGUCAAUUGAUAAGAUGAACAGCACUGCAAAAUGCAUACCCUCAGUAAUCCAUAAGUAGAUUUGCUUGGGCUAAGAGUGUAAUACCAGUUUCCACAAUGUGCCUGUGUUUACACUUAGCAAAAUCGUUCUGUUCGGAUGUAUGAGGACAUGAAAGAUGAUGAAGAAUCCCAUGAUCUGCCAAAAUUGAUGUAAAAGCAUGAUACUUAAUGCCCCAAUCACUUUGGAAUUUUUUAAUACACUUCCCGAACUGAGUGAGAACCAUUUUUUGAAACUAAAGAAAAUAUUCAACCGUUUGAUAUUUUCUUUUAAUGAGAUAAAUCCAAGUAAAUCGGCUGCACAUGUCAAUAAACGAAACAUAGUACAAAUUACUCACACAAGCAACAGAUGUCGGUCCCCACAAAUCAGAGACAACCAAGUCAAAUAAUUCCAUUUAUUCAGAAGUAAAUUGAGCAAAGGGCAAUUUAUAUGAUUUCCUUUUCUGAUAGGCAACACAAAUAUUAUCUAGAUUUUUCCUAUUAUAAGCAAUGUGACACUUAUCAAGAACCAUUUUAACAGUUGAGGUAGAAGGAUGUCCAAGUCUUUUAUGCCACAAUGUAAAAACAUCAUUAUCUGAAGAACUAUCGUAAACCCUGGUGUUGUGAAUAGCAGGUACUAUAUCAAAUGGAACCGACAGAUCAGCCGAAAAUUGAUAAAGACCAUCACGAGCUUGUCCCGUAGAAAAAUUUCCUGUGUUUGGGCAUCCUUAAUAACAUAAUAAGACGGAUAAAAUUGAAAAAAAAUUAUUGUCAUGAGCAAACUGAGAAACAGACAAAAGAUUCUUUCAGAUACUCGGUACACAUAAGACAUUAGAAAGAUAUAAUAAUUUCUUCUUCGUGGGCAAGACAGAAUUUCCAAUAUAUGAGAUUUUAGUGGGAAUGCCGUUACCCAUUAAAAUAGAAGAAUUACUUGAGUAUGGGGUAGACUCAUUCAAACCAGUAGUAUUCUGAAAAACACGGUGUAUAGCCCCUGAAUCCCGAUACUAUGAUGAAUUUCCAACGGGAAGGGGAACAUAUGAAUCAUCAAAAUUAGAACCGUACUUAGUGGAAUUAGCAUUGGAUCCGGAAGUAGCCAAAUAGUUGGACAGAUUAAAACCGGGAAUACGAGGUAACCUAAUACACUGCGAAGAAUCAAAAUCAAUUACACGUGCCAUUGGUUUAGUCUUCUGCGGAACACCGGACCCACCAUUUGGUAAAGAAGGUGUGUAGCUUUCAAGGCCAACAUAAUUAAUAUUCGGCCCACUAGAAGGUUGACCACCAUUAUUGUUCGGCCCAUGUUCAGGCUAACCAUUAGUGGCAUGCUACGCAGCAAAUUUCAACCCACCAGAGGACAAUCCACCAAGAUCAUUGGGCCCGUAGUGCGGCCUACUGCAGGUGACGCAUGAGAAGGACCAACAGAUGGAGCACAGGCAUGGGCAUAAGUAGCAGACGCUGGCCUAAAAUUGUACCCCAAUUCACGCAGUACGCUAGCGCCAUGUGGACCAGGCAGAUGUGAGCCACCACCAGGCCUGCUUAUGCGGCCUGCAUCAGAGAAAUAAUUAGGGCCUGCAUCCACAAAAUUAGGGUUAAAGGGAUUAUAAUCCCAAACAUGCAGCAGACCAUUGAAAUAAGAUUGCUGUGACGGCCACCUUCCCUAAGAGUCUGAAAAUGGCGCCGAUGAAUGUUUCGUUGGGCCACCAAACUGUUUAGGAGCACCAUUAGACCAAGCAAACUUUUCACUUCGAAAAUGUUGGCCAUCAUCAAAAGAGAAACGUCCCAUGGGUGAAGGAGAUAGGCCGUCGUAGUCUCGAUUAUAACAGUAGUAGCAUCGUUGAGCUAGAUGACCGGAGCGACUGCAAAUUUGGCAUUGAACCCGUGGCCGAAAGCCACACCCACGAGAACUAGAUGAAGGACGGCCGCCGUCAUGAGUAGGAUCGGCCACCGUCGUGUUCAAUGGUACCUCAACGAUAUUUUGAAACAAAAGUGGCUCAGAGGAGAAAGACGCCAGCGUUAUCAGGGCGUCAAAGUCUGAUGAAAGUCCGGUGAGAAUAACCUCCACCUUUUUGGCCUCCGAGACGAUAGAUCUAGACGCCUCCAAUAGAGCGCAGAUAUUUUGUAUCUUGGCAAUGUAUUCUUUUACUGUUAAUGCUCAUUUAAUUUCUUAAUUCUUGAUUCUUGAGAGCUUCGCACCAGUCGCAGCAGCAAAAAUCGAUUAGCAGUGCUCCAUAUAUCACAAGCUGUUUUGGCAGAGAUAAAAUAUGACAGUAACGAUGUACUAACGGUAGAAAGUAACCAUGAUGCAAGUAACUUAUCUUGCUGGGUGACGAAAGAUGCAUCAGGAUUUGGAAUCAGAGUUCCAUUUGGAGAGGUCACAAAACGAGCCGGAAUAGGUAACGUACCAUCUAGAAACCCUUGCAAUUUAUGGCCUUCUAUGAUCAACCUUACAUGCUGUUGUCACUGCACAUAAUUUCCAUCAUCUAACUUCACUGUAUCGUGACGAGGGAUUGGACCAGACGAGAACCAAAAAAAGAACCAGCGGAAGUAGAUUCGGUGGAAUUUGCCAUGGAUUCAGUAGAGAGAAGGAGGCCCUAGGAAGUUGGCGACUAAUACCAUGUAAAAUACUAUACUAAACCAAAGAACAAUUUGACAAAAAUUGAAUUUACUUAGAAAUUUGCUUAGUAUUCAUAUCUGCCUUCAUCAAUUACACAUAUGAUGUUUAUAUAUUUGAAAAUGAAUAACUACUCUUAACCAAUUAUACACCAGACUCAGUAACUGAUUGAUAACAAACUAACAGUCCCUAAUCUCUUUACUCUAAUAUGGAUCAAGACAGUUUUCUGAUUUUAACAAAUGGAACAGCUCAUAACUUUGCUUCAUGCCAAGUGUUUUGAACAUUCUUAUUUCGAAUACUCUUUUGGUGAAUUUUAACGAAGCUAAUAGAUAUAAAAACAGGUGUAUAGAAUAAGUUUGUUGGCUCGAGUUAAUCAUCAUAACUCUUAAUUCAACCUUUGAUAUUUGUAACAACUUAUCAUUUUCCCAAUUCCCAAUACUUAAACUUAUUCACAUAAAUUACCUUUAACCAAACUUGUCCACCCGUAUUUUCCACUCUUAUAUGGAGCAGUCAUAUAAUUCUAAAAUUAUAUAUAAAUAUAUAUACUUUGUGUAAUUCUAAAGUAUCACUCUUCAAAUAUUUCAUAUGUAAGCUAAAUCUCACAUGAAAAACAUUAAAAAAGUUGCAGCAGAAAUCGUUUACUAUUUUUAAAGCCUAAUGCUUAAACCUGGGUCACGUGAAAUUCAGGAAGUCGACAGUAUGCUACAUGUUCAAUGUUCAUCAUUAUGGUUACUGUGUACUAAUGUUCAAUUUCCACUACGACCACUUACCCAACAUCUUUUUCUCUUUUCUUUUCUUAAAUUUCAACUUAAAAAAGAAAAAAAGGAAAAAAAAGAAACCCACUCCCCAGACCCACAGAAAGAGAAAGGCCAUGUCGACAUCUUAGUCAUGGGUAUAUGGCAAAGGCAUGAAAUGUUUAGUUAAAUUCUAUUAUUAGUAGUUUAUGUAGUACGCAAGUUAUGGUUUUAAUUAUUAUAUUUUAAUGUGAUGAUUUUUAUUUAUAUUUUCUGAUUUUUAAAAUUUUAAUUUUAACGAAUAAAAUUGUUAAAUUUAUUAAUUUAAAUUUGCUAUUUUUAAAAUUAUAUAUUACAACCACAUUAUCAUCACGUGUAACACUAGAUCUAUCUAUGGUCCGGCCCAAAGGCCUACCCAAAAAGUGAGAAGAUUUUGGUGAAAAUACAUGCCCAGAAAAUGGGCUUGAAAAAAAAUAAGGCUUGUUUAGAAAAUAGGUCAAGCCUCCAGUAAGAAUUUUUUAACCUGAGCUUGGCCCAAAUAUGCAAAAAAAAAACUGUUGUUUUUUUACUGUUUUGUUACUAUUUUUCUUUUUUUCUUUUUUUUUGCUAUUUUGCUAUCAUUCACUAUUAUGUUGCUACUAUUUUGUUGUUAUUGUUUGGAUAUUGUAUAACUCUUGUUUUAUUGUUAAUUUUGUUAAGAUUUUAGAGGCAUUUUCUUGAGUUGCAUCUAUCUUAGUGUUAUAUAUAUUUUUAAAAUUUAUUUUAAAUUUAUUGGGAAACGUUUAUUUUAAUAUUUUUAGUAUUUUAUAUGUAUUAUAUUUAAAAAAUAUAAAUUAAUAUGGACGGGGCGGGCUAGGUUUUAGCAGUUUUAUUUGAGCCAGGGUUGGACAAAAUUUUAGACUCAUUUUUUAGGCUAGGCCUGAGCAUAGCAAAUGAGACUAAAAUUUUGGUUGGGCCCGACCCAGCCCAUGGACACUUUUAUGGAACACCAUGUUAGCUUUCUACUUUUACAUAUUACUCACAGAAAAGUUAGUUAGUAGAUUUAACUAUUGUUAUUUGUGUCAAGAUUAAAAUUUCAAAUAUUGAAAUGUAUGAGGACUUAGAAUGAUUCGCUAUCAGAACAUGGACUAAAUCUACGACCUUACACAUUAUUCAAGAUUAAUAGGAUUAAUCAAAUAAGUUAAACCACUACCAUUUUGAAUCAAACCUAAAAUUUUAAUUUUCAAAAAGUUCGAGGAUAAAAUUCACUAUUUUAAAAAAUACAAUAAUUAAAAUUAACUAAAAUAAAAUAUAUGAAUUAAAUCGCAAACUUAAAAAAAGAAAAUAAUAACAGAAUUUGAACUAAAUGUUUUGUGAGCAAAAUUUAUGAAUGUUGGAUAGGUAAGUGAUAAAACUAGUAUUAUUUUACAUAAAUUGAAUCUUAAAUUGUUAGGCCAUUUUUUAUGCAAUAUUUGUUAGUGUAAGUUAUUAUUGCAUAUUAUCUUGCUUAAUUCCUUUUAAGUUUGUCGUUUAGUAGCUCCUUUUUCCUUUUAUUUACUUGUGAUGGAAAUUAAAUUAUCAAAUCUUUUGAUGUAAAAAAUAAUUUAUUCUAUAUCACUUAAAUAUUGAAUUAAUUGUGGUAUUAUAUUCAAUUUCAAUCUUUUUAAUAGAAAAAAUACUUUUUUUUUAUAUUACGAUUAUAUUUAAAAUAAAUUAUGUUGCAUUUAAUUGGUUGAAUCUUAAUUUAUUUGAUGCCAUUAUUAUAAUAAUAAUAAUGUAGAAGAUAAAUUAAAUUGAAUGUAUUUGGACACUUGUUAUUUUUGAUAUUUAAGAGUUUAGAAAGUUAUGAUUGGAAGUAAACCUUAUAUUUAUAUAAAUUUUAAUUUAUUAAUAAUAAAUAUGAAGUAAUGUAGGUUUAGCAAAGUGUUUAAAUUAAAAUGGGUGCUCUUUGUAUGAUUUGAAAGUUAGCUGAGGUAGAAGAGUAAAUGUUAGAGAGCGUGGUGUAAUCAUUCCAUGGAAUUUUAGUCUUAGAGAUGAUUCAUCAUAACAUGGAAUUCCGCCCAUCCAAUCCAUAUCUUCACUCUUUACUCUCUUUCUUAAAAAGGUUUUCAACAUUAUAUAGAUUUAAUUUAAUUCAUCCCAUUCAAUCAAUUUCUAAUGGUAAAUGAGUCAAUUAAUUUAAUUCUCUUUUUAAUUUAAUAUCUCAACCAAUUUUUAAUCUAAUCCAAAAUUUCUUUUAUAUAUUUAUAUAUAUAUAUAUAUUCUAUACAUAACUUUAAAUCCAAACGAAACACAAAAUCGGGAUAAGUAGGAGCUCUUGUCACUUGGUUAAAUCAUGCAUACAUUCUCUCUUAAAAGUUAACAGUUGAAUAUAACUCUUUUUUUAAGCUUUGGCGAAAAUAGAAAGUUAAUUUUUUGGCUCCUAAACAUAUUAAUUACUCAAUUUAAACAUUUUAAACACAAAAUCUAUCUUUUACUUGAAUUUCAAUACAGAAUUCCUAAAUUUAUCUUUAAUCCAAGCCUUCUAUACAGGAGUGCUGAAUCGAUUAACUAAAUCGAAUUAGCAUGAAUUAAAUUAACCAAACUUUUUAAACCCUUAAUUGUUAACUAAACUAAAAUUUUUUCAAUACAAAUUAAUCAAACCGAACUAUUUCGGUUAAUUCAAUUAGUCAACCAAAUUAACUGAAAUUUUUAUUUUUAUUUUGUUAAAAUAAGUAUAAAACAUAUAAAAAAUAAAUGGGUAAUGUUCACUUAAUCAAAUUAACCAAAUUAAAAUUAACCGAAUUGGUAAUAAAUAAUAUUGGUUUUUUGAAAUUUCGGUUAAUUACCCAAUUUUGAACUAAAUUAACGAUAACCGAACUUUUAAAAAAUCAUUAACCGACCUCCGACCGAAUUAGAUCAGUUAAGCGAUAGAUUAACUGAAUUAGUUCGAUUCAACCAAUUAAUUCGAAAUUUAUACACCCCUAUUUCUAUAUGGUGAAAAUAGUAAGGAAAUAAAAAAAAUGAUGAGUUAGAUAGACAAAAUGAAAAGAAGUUUGGGAAUUGAGAUUGCCAAGCCCUUAUCUCCCCCAAAUUAGGGCCCAUUUCAUAAACUUUAUUUUAGGGGGGUUAUAAUUUCAUAAACUAACUAAACAACACUAAUAUCUAAACAUUUGGUUUAAAUUUUCUCUUUUGAAAAGGGACCCAAAAAGGGUCAUUGCAAAGUGCAAAUUAUGCUUCAUAAUUAUUCCCUUAAAACGUACCGUUUUGACAUCAUGACUACGUUUGUUCCACGCCAGCUUCAACUGCAAAUUAUAUAUAUAUAUAUAUAUAAACAAUUUAUCAAAUAUUUUGAUUUAUCAAAAUUUUGCAAUAUGUUGCGAUUCAUAAUUAUAUCUUCAUUUUAAAAGAAAUCAUAUUUGAAUUUCUUCAAAUUUGCAACAAAAUAAAUGAAACAUCAUAUAUCUAAUUAUUGUUGUCUUUUGAUUCAUGAUAUAUUUUAAGGAUAAGGUGCAUGAUACAAUUAUAUACAUAUCAUUAUAAGCUCCUUUGCUCAUGUAUAAUUUUAAUUUCAAUUAAUCAAAAAAAAAAAAACAACCACCUUAUAAUCCUAUAACAUGUCUAAUGAUUUUUAACCAUCAUUUUAUGACAAAUAUAAUUACCAUCAAAAGUACCAAAUUAACAUAAUUGAUGAAUAAUAGAAUUGUAUACAAUAAUCAAAAUGAUGGGAGCAGUGGGUGUAUAUAUGGUCCACAAGGAAUAUUUUUAAAAACUACAGCAAUGGGAAAUUAAAAAUUAAUUAUUUAGCAAAACAAGUGUAAUUAUUAUGUUGAAUAUUGAAGAGAUGAUGAUAACAAUAUAAUGGAGGUGGGCUUGGAAUUUGAGAAAUGGUGGGGUUGAUUUUGGUUUUGGUUUUGGAGGAGAAGUAUAUACAAAAAGUGAAAAUAGCAAAAGUCAAAUAGGGACUAUUUCAUGAUAUCUUCACCUCUGAUUUGCAGACCAUUCAUCAUCAUUGCCACCCUCUUGUGAUUUUUUUUCCGAAUUUCUUUUCAUCUUUGCUAAAAGGAAUUAGACAAUUAAACUAAUUAUUAUACAAAUGAAUAUAUAAUUUCAUUUUUUUCACUUAUUACUGGUUUUUUUAGCAAUGAAUUUUACUCUCUCUCUCUCUCUCUCUCUUUUUUUAAUAAAGUUAGGUGUAGCAAAGUUUGAUGAAAAUGGAGUGCAUGGAUAUUCCAUGCAAUUAAAGCAAGGGGAAGCAGCUAAGAAUGAAGCAAUAUUUGUCAUGUACUGUUGACAUUCUUAAAACAGGAAGAAUCCACUAACAAAAUGAGACAUGUAAAUGUAAUUGCAUGAGGUCAAAGAGUAACAUGUCUUGCACUAAACUCUCUAAACAGACGGUUUGCCCUAAACUCUCAUAAUUUACCUUUAGUGACACCGUAUUAACUUAAUUAAGAAAAAAUGAAAAUAUUUUUAUUUUUACAAAAUAAUAAAUAUUAUUAUAAUUAUAUUUUUAUCUUAAUCAUAUUAUUAUAUGAUUUGAACCUUAAAACGUAUGAAUUGUAAGUUAAUUAUUUGAUUUUAAUAUAAAUCUUUUAUAAAUAUAGCUCUUUUUUUCUUUUAAUAAGAAACUAAAAGGAUAAAAAAGAAGAAAAAAGUGGUUGGGUCACAUUAAAGCAUUUUAUAAUAAUUAUAAAACUUCGUAUAUAUAUAAUUUUUAUUGUCUAUCAAUCCUAGAAGUUUCAAGUUUGAGAGAGACCCUUCCUUGAGUCGUUAAAAUCUAAGACUAUUUCUACUUUUAGUCUAUCUUCCAAAAUUCCCUAUACUUCUGUAAAGGAAACCAAAAACCUAACUUAAUUCCUUUCUCAUCAAGAAUAUGUCACAGCAAGCCAUGCUAAACCAGGAGUUGUUUGAGGAAAAAGAGAUGCCUCAAAUGGGUUUCUUUACUUUCCCUCAAACCCUCACUUCAUAUCCUCCUUCAUUUAGUUGCCUCAAAGCUUUCAAUAUUGUACCUCCUCCUGCUAAUCUAACUGAAACCCUAUUCUCUCAUCCAAAGCAUAGAGAAGAAGACUCAGCUUCUGAUUUUGCAGGACCCCAACUCCUUUCCUUGCACAGUUCUACUCCAAACCUAUGGUGAAUAUAUUACCCUCUUAAAUCAUUGUGUAUUCAUGCAAAUAAUAUGCUUCUUAUUUAUUGUUUUCUGAAAUGGUUUUAGGGAAUGGGGAGAGGUAAACGAGUGUUUGGGAACCAAGAAAAGUAGUGGAGAUGAUCAUCUAGGAGUUUCAGCAAUUAAAAUGAAGAGGAUAAAAGGAAGAAGAAAGGUAAGGGAACCUAGGUUUUGCUUCAAGACCAUGAGUGAUGUGGAUGUGCUGGAUGAUGGUUACAAAUGGAGAAAGUACGGCCAGAAAGUGGUAAAAAACACCCAGCAUCCCAGGUAUAUUCAUAUUCAUUACAUUUCACACUCAACAAAGAUAUCUCCCUUUUUGUUUUUUUUUUGUUUUUUGUUUUUACAUUUAAAUUUUAUCAAGGUUUUUAGCUAUGGCCUUAGUAGUACCCCAUAUACACAUGCUAUGUUUCCUCUUUUUUAUUUUAUUUCCCUCUGUCAUGUAAUUAUGCUUUUGGUUAAUCAUGACUGCUAGGGCUUUACAGUACUCCUGUUGUUGCAUGAGAUGUGAAAUUGAUGAGCGGGGGGGAGGGGAUUUUAAUCAUGAAAAUUACAAUACCGAAAUUCUUAUAGAACCCUAAAAGAAGUCAUUAUUAUCUUCGAAAAGAUACAAAAUCACAAUAAAAAAAGGGGGAAAUUAUAAAACAAUUUGUAAAUUUAUAAUGCAUAUCACAAAAAAGGGAAGCUAUAGCCUAGAAUAAUAUCUUCACUACAUAACAAAGUUGGAAAUACCAUUACCAUAACGAAAUUAUAUACAACAAUUCUAGUUGAUUAAAUAGAGAGUUUCACUUUUCCAUGCCAUAACAAUAAGCUAAAGUGCCUAGGCAACUGGUAUGCAUGUAUAUAUAUAUGUAUUUUAAGGUAAACAAUGUAGGAGUUUAGUAUGAACUGUAAGCGUUUCACCUUUUGAUUUGUCACUAUGUAAGAAAAGAGAACCACCUAGCUAGACACUUUGCUUACAAAGUAGAAACUCUAAGGGCAAUGAUUUUAGCUCUGAAUAACAAAAGAGUACUACAUGAUUAUGCACCUAUAUAUAAAUAUGUACACUUUAGGGUUUUGAGUAUCAUUUGAUUUUCUAAAAUUAUGGGGUUAAAGAGACCACACCAUAAGAGACAAAAAAAAAACCAUGAGACAUGAGGGAGAGGAAACAAUGACCUCUUUUAGCUACUAAAUUUGUUACCAGUUAGCAUAUGUAGGCUAUAUUAUAUAUAUAUAUAUUUCUUUUUGGUUAUGGAAAAGAGUAAACCAUAUAAUCAAGGAUUGCUAGGGAAUUCUAGUAUAACUAAAAUAUAAAUCUAGUUGGCUAAAUAUAAAUUACAUUUUUUUUAAAUAAAGGAUAAAGGUAGGGUUUUUUUAGGAAUGGAAUCAAAGAAUAGUGUUAAAUAUAAAGUUUUUGAAAAUAAUGACAAGGGGGUUUAUUUUUUAAAAACAAAAUUUGAGUAUUUAUUUGAUAAUUACUUUACUUUGUAGUAUAACCAAAGUUUCCUAGUUACAAAGUGAUUUAAUUUCUAAACAAAAUAAUGAGUAUGGUGGAAGUAGGGCCCUAAAACCUGACUUAUAUGUGAAAGGGGAACGCCCUACUUAUUCAAAUUGGUAAUAAUCAUAAUAAACUUAAGGACUUAUCAUAGCUUGAUUAACUUCAUUAAUAUCCAACUUCAUGCAACCUUUCACAUGCUCACUAGAAAUCCCUUUCUUUUUCACUGUUAAAUUCAUUAUUUCACAUUCAAGCCCUCCUAUUCUUACCCAAUUUGCUGCAUGCAUUUCACUGUUAUUUUCACUAUGCACAUUCUCAUCAUACCCAUAAACAACAUUAUUUGCAAUCUCAUCAUACCCAUAAACAACAUUAUUUGCAAUCAUAUGUUAAAAAAAAAAUGAAUGGAAUCGAGUGCAGGAGCUACUAUCGGUGUACGCAAGAUAAUUGCCGGGUAAAGAAACGAGUGGAGCGACUAGCGGAGGAUCCGAGAAUGGUGAUUACCACCUAUGAAGGGCGGCACGCUCAUUCUCCGUCGCACGAUUCCGAGGACUCUCAGCACCCUUACUCUCACCUUAACAAUUUCUUCUAGCACCACCAUCUAAACCAAUUACAUUUCAUAUAUAUUUUGUAUACAUUAUCUUUAUAUUUGUUUUUAAACUUUUUGUUAAUGAGAUAGAAUAAUUUUUGUUUAUGAUAGUAUUCAGAUAUAUAUUGUGAAUGCAUUAAAUAUAAACUUUAUAUAUAUAUAUAUUAAUGCAUUGAUUUUAUAUAUUGAUAUACUAUCAAUGAAAUAAUUAUUGUUGAAUAAAAUUGAAAGGGUAAUGUUUGUAUGUACAUUCUCUCAACCUCUUUGUUAUGUUAUGUUUAAUUAAAUUUUGUUGAAAAAUCAUUAAAUUAUAUAUUAACUUAUAAUUUGUAAUUAAAAAAGGCUAUAAUGGACUUAAUUUCACCCAUCACAAUCCUAAAUAAAUAAAUAUAGAAUGUUUUAUGAAUUGAUACAAUAUCAAUUUCAUUUCCAAUGCCAAAAACCAAAACUUAUUUGUCUUAUAAAUUAAUUGCCACUCUACCUAGUUGUAGGAAAAUCUAGCAUAAUGUACAUAUAUGUUUGUAAUAUUUUUUAAAAUUGAAGUGUAUGGUGAAAUUUCAUCCAACUUCAUCAAUCAAUCAAUCAAUCCAGUGAUUGAAAAUUUGGGCUUUAAGAGCCCACUUGGUUUUAAAUAUAUAAGAAAAGAAAAUACUAGAAUAAAUGACACUAAGAAACUUGCUCUGUAAUGAAUACUUUUUUGUUUUUUGCCAUUAUUGUUCAUAGUUUCUUACAGGCAAAUUAUGAAAGAAAAAGACUAGUGGUAUGAAUAUGAUGAUAAGUAUAUCCUCCUCAAAAACAUUGAUGCAAUCAUAAAUCUAAAGUACAAAUAUUCCUUUGCUAUUUUCAUAUAUCUUUUAGUGAUAAUUAUGAGAAGAACCAUUGCAGAAAUAUAUAACAUUAUUAUCUACUUUCUGUAAACUGAAAAGAUAAGCAAGCACCCUCUUUUUCUGAUUCCACAUUCUAUAAUUCUUCCCUAUCAAUUUGUUUGUUUGCAAUUUUUAUCUUCCUUUUGAGUUUCGAUUAAACUUGAAGUUGAACCGAGUCAAAAAUUUUAUUCGAAUAUGAAUAUAGUUAAUUUGGAUAAGUUGGAAGGUUGAAUUUUACAUUGGAAUUUCAUGAAUUUGAUGGUCAAUUUGUAUGGAAUUUUAAGACCAAUUAUUUCCAAAUGAUUCUAAAGCUAGAAUAGGGUUUUCUUAAAUAAGAAUAGUCCAAUGGGCUAUGAUUUGGGUAAAUAAUUCUUUUUAAUCCAUACUUUAUCUUCUAAAUCCCAAACAACAAACCAUAUAAAUAAAUGUUGGGUUUUGUUUGAUAAAAAAAAAAAAACACACAAUGGCGAGGAUGAAAAUUUUGCAAUCCAAAUUACUAAAUUACGAAAUUAAAAAUAUAUAUAUAUAAAUCUUAACUAAUCAAUUAAUAAAAUUCUCUAUCAUCUCUUGUAUCAACAAAACAAACCUAUCCCCUACAUGUUACUGAAUAAAUCUGACUAGAGAAAAUUGAUCAAUAGGUUUAAUAUUUCAAUUUUCUUCCGUUCCAACGCACCACAAAACCAUGUUUUACUAAUAAAAAUGUUUUUUAGGUGUAAAAUGCUCCCAAAUUAAAAAAAAAAAAUUUUAAGGUUUUUUUUUUCACUCAACUAAAUACUUAAAUUUUCAAAAUGUAUAAAAAAGACUCUCAAAAUUUUUCAAAGAAAGCAAUUUAGCCCCUUUUUUUACACUCAAUUGGGUACUUGAACUGUCAAAAUGUAUCAAAAAGUCCUUUAACCGAUAACUCUAACAGUUGAUUGUUAAAGUUAACUGCCCUUAAUUUUUUUCAGUUAAAACCAUCACAUUUCAAAAUCUAAAUAUUAUUAAAUUUUAAUAAAAAUAUUAAAAAUUAAGAAAUAAUUAGGAAAAGUUAUAAAAAUCAUAAAAUUUGUAAAAAAAUAUAAAAUAUACAAAAAUAUAGAAAUUUUUAUAAUAUAAAGUGGCAAGAAAAUUAUAAAAAAUGUAAAGAAAUAUAAAAUUCAUAAAAAAAUUAUAAAAAUUAUAAAAUGCUUCUUUUGUUAUGAUAAUUUUUAACCACAUGUCACGUUGUGUUUCAACACGUGAUGGCUUUAAUUGAAAAAAAUAGGGGUUGUUAACUUUAACUGUCAUUGAUUUUUAUAAAAUUUACUAUUUUUUAUAUUUUUACUAUUUUUAUAAUUAUUCUAUUUUUCUUUUAAAAUUUAAUAAAUUUUAAAUAUUUUAUUAAAAUUUAAUAAAUUUUAUAACUCUUAUUGAUUUUUAUAAUUUUUUUACCACAUGUCAUGCCGUGGUUGUGACACGAGGUGGAUUUAACUGAAAAAAAUUAGGAGCAGUUAAAGUUAACAAUCAAAGUAUUUUUUUAUGUAUCAAAUUGAGUGAGAAAAAAAAGUGAGGUUUAUUUUAUUUUAUUUUUAAAGUUUAAGAGCCUCUUUGAUGCAUUUUAAAAGUUCAAGUACUUAAUUGAGUAAAAAAAAUAAAGGCUUAAUUAUUUUUUAUUUUUUUAGGGAAACCUAUUUUUUAUUCAAAUUCAAAUUUAAAAUAUAUAAAUAUUAUAAAUAAAAAAAUCAAGCUUUUGGGUUGACUCAAUCUUUGGACCCACGUUUAGAAUAAAAUUUUGUAAACCGUGACCUUAUGAUUCUUAUCCAAUCAAUUAACACUAUUACUUUAUCUAUAAUUACUCCUAAUAUAAGAUAAGAAAAAUAUUUUUUAAAUUGUUAGGUAAAGAUUAGGUUGAUGAGAAGUAUAUAUAUAUAGAGAAUAGUAAAAUAAAUGAAAUAUAUAUAAAAAAAAUUAAAACACGUACUAAAUUUAUAAUUCUACUUGUAAAGUUAAAAAAGUGUAUUAUUAAUGUAUCAAAUAUUUGUCCUAUAAAAACAUAGUUCAUUUUUUUUAGAGAUUACAUAAGAAUUUUUUUUAAAGUGUGUUUGGAUGAAAUUUUUUAAAAUUUUUUAUAUUUUAAAAUACUAAUAUUUUAGAAUUCAUAAAUUCAAAAUGCUAGGAUAAAUAAUUGAUUUAGAAAAAGAUUAAGUUAAAGGAAUUUUCUAAAUUAAAAUAUAUUAUAAAAGUAAUUAUAUUAAAAAUAAAUAAUAUAAAAAUAUUAAAUAUGGAUAUUUUUAUAUUUUUAAAAAUUUAUAAAUGAUUUUAAUAAAAUAAAAUUUCAAAAAAUAUAUUAUAAUUAAAUAAAAACAAAUUUUGUAGUUUAAAUUUUUAUCUUAUAGUGGAACCAUGUGUACUAAAUUAAAUAAAAUUAGGAGAAACUUUGAAAAAAAAAUCUAUUUAGGUGGGACCUGACAAAGGAAUUUAAGCUCUUAAAAUUUCCUCUUGAAAUUAUCAAAAUUUUUUUAAGUUCUCUAAUAUAUUUACCUAAACAAAUAGAUUCAUUUUUAGAAUUUUGAAAACUUUGAUACAAAUGAAAUCUCUCAUGCAAAUUCCUCAACCAAACACACUAUUAAGGAAACAAAAAAUUUGUCUAUAAUCUAUGUAAAUGAAUUGGCUAGAAUACCCUUUAUUUAAUAGAAGUUGUGAUAAUUAAAUAUUUAAAAAUCAUUUUAAUUUAAUUUACAGUUAUUAAUUAAAAAAUUUAAAGGUAAAAAAUUUUAAAAUUUUUAUAAAAUAAAGAAAGAUUGAGAGAAUAAAGAACAAAGAAAAUAUGAAAGCAAUAUCAGAGAAUGUGCUUUAUUAAUCAAAGGGAUGAUUACAAUGCUUCAUCAGAGUCUCUAUUUAUAGGCAUAAGAAGUAUAAAAGAAGUAGAGAUCUAAUUCUAAUAACUAUUAGAAUUUAAAGUACAUCAAAACUUUAUCUUGAUCAUGAUGGACAUAUACUAAAUAAGAUAUUCAUAAUACUCCCCCUUGGAUGUCCAUUGGUAGAUAAUGUGCCUCAUUAAAACCUUAUUAAGAAAAAUCCUGUGGGAUAAAAACAUAACAAAGGAAAAAAAAGUACACAAUCUUCUAUUACAAGUUGCCUCAUUGAAUACCUUUACCAGGAAAACCCAAUGGGACAAACAUUGGUUAAAGGAAAAUAGUAUAACUUGUUUUAGACUCCCCCUAAUGGCAACAUUGCGUUACAUCUUUGAGUUGACGCAUUCCAAUCUUGUGUGGUAGUCUUUCAAAUGUUGAAGUUGGCAAUGCCUUAGUAAAAAGAUAUGUUAAAUUAUCACUAGAACGAAUUUGUUGAACAUUUAUAUCACCUCUUUUCUCAAGAUCAUGGGUGAAGAAUAAUUUUGGUGAAAUAUGUUUCAUUCUAUCACCUUUGAUGUAACCACCCUUCAAUUGAGCUAUAUAUGUUGCAUUAUUUUCAUAUAAGAUAGUUGACAUCUUUUCCUAUAAAGGCAAAUUACAUAUCUUCUGGAUAUGUUGGGUCAAUGACCUUCGCCAAACACACUCUCGACUUGCCUUAUGCAUUGCAAUUAUUUCUACAUGAUUUGAAGAAGUAUCAGUUAAUGUUUGCUUUGUCGAAUGUCAUGAUAUGGCAGUACCCCCACAUGUACAUAAAUAUCCUAUUUGAGAUCAACCUUUAUGUGGAUCUGAUAAGUACCCAACAUCAGCAUAGCCAACUAAUAGAGAUUUUGAGUCAUUUGAAUAAAAUAACCUCAUAUCAAUAGUCCCUCUGAAAUAUCUAAAUAUAUAUUUAGUUCCAUUCUAAUGUCUACAUGUUGGAGAAGAACUAAAUCUUGCUAACAAGUUUACAGUGAAAACUAUGUUAGGUCUUAUGCUGUUUCCAAGAUACAUCAAUGCCCUUAUGACACUUAGAUAUGGUACUUCAAGACCAAGAAACUCUUCAUCAUUCUCGCAAGGACAAAAUUGAUCUUUAUUCACAUCUAACGAUCGUACAACCAUCGGAGUACUUAAUUGGUUGCAUUAUCCAUGUAAAUUCUCUAUAAUAUCUUUUCUAAAUAAGUUGAUUAAUGAACAUGAUUUUCAUCUUUUAAAUUCUCGAUUUGUAAGCCAAUAUAAAACUUUGUUUUUUCAAAAUCUUCUAUUACAAAUUCUUUCUUUAAAUAAUUUAUUAUACUUUGAAGCUUUUCGGGAGUUUCAAUAAUAUUAGAUCAUUAACAUAAACAACAACUAUCAUAAAAUCUAAUCCAAACUUUUUUAUAAAGACACAUGGACAAAUUGGAUCAUUUUUGUAACCUUCUUUUAACAAGUAUUCACUAAGACGAUUGUACCACAUACGUCUAGAUUGUUUUAUUUCACAUAAACUUUUCUCUAAUUUGAUCGAGCAAUUUUAUCAAGAAACUUUAUACCUUUUUGGGAUGUUAAAUCCUAUAGGGAUUUUCAUAUAAAUUUCACUAUUAAGUGUACCAUAUAAAUAGGGUGUAACAACAUCCAUUAGAUGCAUGUCAAGUUUUUCAUGUACUAUCGGACUAAUAAGAUAUUUAAAAGUGAUUGCAUCCACCACAGAAGAAUAUGUCUCUUCAUAAUCAACGUCGGGUCUUUGCGAAAAACCUUGUGCUACAAGGCGAGCUUUUUAUCUUACGAUUUCAUCAAUUUCAUUUUAUUUUCAUACAAAUACCCAUUUAUAUCCUACCGGCUUUUACAUCUUUAGGUGUUUGGACUACAGGUCUAAAAACUUCACGUUUAGAAAGUGAACUCAAUUCUGCUUGAAUUGCAUCUUUCCAUUUUGGCUAAUAUUUUCUAUUUUUACAUUCCUUAGUAGAUUUAGGCUUAAGAUCCUCAUCUUCUUUUAUUAUUUUAAUAGCAAUAUUAUAAGCAAAAUUGUUGUCGACAACUACUUUUUUUUUUCGGUUCCAUCUUUUUCUCGUAUUGACAUAACUUAUCGAGAUCUCUUUACUUUCAUCAUUUCUAUUUUCACUUUUAGGUGCCUGAAUCUCUUCUUGAGUUUUAUAAUUAGUUAUGUCAUAGGUCUCUUCAGGAACCCCUGCCUCCAUUAUAUGACCAUCUUAAAUGUUUGCUCAUUUACUUUUACGAGGAUUUUAUCUUUAAAAUCGACCGGUCUUUCACACUUCAUGCAUGAAUUACUUUCUUUUUUAUUAACAAUUUGCCCUAUUAGGACAUCAAUUCGUAUUGGAGCAUUUUCAGCUAGUAUGUGAGAUUUAAUGAAUCUGGCAGUUGAUUUGUAAUAUGAAUUAUCUGUUGAACUUCUGGUUCACAUUGCUUUGUACAAUGAUCUUAGACAUUGAUAAUUCAUUUCAAGUACUUUAUUAAUCUAGCUUUUUAUUCUCUUCCCCUAAUGUUGGGAAAACUGACAACUCUUGUCAUAACUAAAUAUCGAAUUAAUAGCUCAAAAAUAUUAUAAAGAACUCACAUAUAUAUAGAUUUCCAAUCUCUUAUAAUGACCCAUCUUUGUGUGUUGUGGUGGAGCAGUUGGAACAUAUACUGCACAUCCAAAAAAUUGUCAGAUGGGAAAUAUUUGGCUCUUGACCAAAAAUCAAUUGUAAUGAGGAGUAUUUAUAAUUUAUUGGCUUGAUGCGUACAAAUACAAUCUCAUGCUGAAAUAGAAAGUUUUGUUCUCAUAAGUAAUGAUUUAGCUAUUAGUUGGAGGCAUUUGAUAAAUAAUUCAGCUAAAUUAUUUUGUGUGUGAACAUGAGCUAGACGAUGUUCAACUUUUAUCCCAAUUGACAUGCAAUAAUCAUUGAAAACUUGGGACGUAAACUCACCAACAUUAGCAAGAUGAAUUGUUUUAGUUGCAUAAUCUAAAAUUAAUCAUUUAAAUAAGCAAUAUCGCAAACGACAGGUUGCGAGUUGAUAACGUAUGUGAUUAUUUUGUAGAUGUAUCUACCAAAAUCAUAUAAUAUCAAAACUAUCCACAUUGUGGAUGAAUGUGCCCAUAUUUAUUUCAGAAAUGCAAUACAUUAAAUAUCAACUUUAGCUAGUGAGUUUCUAAGAACCAAUUUUUAUUGAGAACAAGCAACAAAUAAGAAUUCUUCAAAUUAAAGAAUCUUCUGGUUCUUUAAUGGAUGUCUAUAUGAAUUCUCAAUUAAUUUUCUCAUCAUAUACGAUCCAAGAUGAUCUAACUGGUCACGCCAAGUAGUGAACACAUUUCUAUUAGUAAACUUCUGGUUUACUUUAACAUGUGUUUCAAUUGUAAUAAUUUGUAACAAAUUGAUAAUUUUAUUAUCAUUCCUUUUAAUUUGUAUCCACAUAUAAGUACUAUUGUGACAUUUACUACUGGAAAUGUCUAAAUCAAUAUGAAAUCUAUAAUGUCACCAAGUCAUUAAAUAUAAUUUCCAAAUAAUUAUAUGCAAUAUUCGCUUCAGGGAAUAACAAAUUUUGUGCUUUUUAGAUAUUAAUAUAUUAGCUCUUCUGGAGCUUUCAAUUAAUUUUGUACUAUCAAAUAUUGGAAUAAUAUUUGUUUGUUUUAGUACCAAAUAAGAUAAAUAUUUUCUAUUUAUAAUGAUAGAAUUCAUUAUUACAUUCUUAUAUCCUUCUUCAAAGAAUAUUAACAAAAACAAAAUAUUUGGACAUAUGCCACACAUGUGGCCAAUAAUCAUAUCACAUUGAUAACAUAAGUUAUCUUUACCCUUUGAAGAGUUAUCUUAAGAACUCUUAUUGUUCUCUUAUUUAUUACUAUGUUCCCACUUUUAGUGGUUUAUGAUUAUAUCUUUUAUUUUCUUUAUAUUUGCAUUCACUUCAAGGAAUGCUAUAACUCUAGUAAGAUAGACUUCUAAACGCCUCCAUUGAUUUUUUUAUUUUAUAAUCACUAUCGCAAAACAUGUGUGGAUUUCAAAUCAAAAUCUAUCUAUUCAUGUUGUCACGAUUAGUCUCCAAUCACGUCCUCAAUUGCAACAACAAUGAUGAUCUCUAUAUUUUCAUUUUUCAUAAUUGUUAUGUACUGCUACAUUCACUUCAGGAAAUGAAGCAAAACUAGUAGGAAGAAUUUCAUAGUUUUUCAUUAGUAACUUAUUAUUUUGCUUAACCACUAGAAUGUAUGAGAUCAUUCGAAAAUACUGUUAAAGUCAUUUUCACAAUAUUGCUACUGCAGGAGCACAUUAGAUAUUUCAAUCAUAAUGUAAUGUAUUCCUUCGGGGAAUAUAUAUAAUAUAAAUACACGAGUAUCUCAUGUUAUUUAUAUAUAUGGUUUUAGUGUAAAACACAAGAAGGUUUUAUUCAACAUAUAUCUUCUUAAUCUGAAAAGAAAUAUUAUAUUUUAUAAAAUUUUGCAUCACAACGGAGCUAAAAUAUAGGCUCUUAAAGAGCUUUUUACAAUUUGAUGCAAUGUUAGCUCUUUAGGAGCAUAUAAUCAUUUUAUUAUAUAACCUUUAUGGAUGUUUAAUUUAUUUUAAAUAAAUUUUUAUUUAUUCAUAUAAAAACAAAAUGAAUAGGUAUAAAUAAAACAUAUAUUAAAUGUAACAAAUAAUAAAUCGUUGUGGUUAGAUAAUAUAUAUUUUAUAUAUCAUACCACAACAAAAUACAAAAUAUUAUAAUGUCAAAUUAAAAUAACUUUAUAGCUAUAUAAGUUUAAAUAUAAACAUUUUUUAAUCUCCACCUCUUAUGACAUAAUUUCAUCUCAAAUUUUACAAUGAUAUGAAAUUAUCAUAGACAGGGUGAAUAUCUCAAAGUUCAUGACAAGUACUUUUACUCACAUUCCGUAAUAAUCAUAUAUCUUAAUCAAAAUCAAAAUUAAACCAAUAAAUUCUAUUAAAAAUAUUUAUCUCCACAUAAAAAUCUCAAUAAGUAAAUGCGUGAAAGGUUUUAUAAAUUCAUAGAUAUACAGAUAGUGAAUUAUAUAAAUUGAAUUUUUUAAUAGAAAUCAAAUCAAAUUUCAAAAGAAAUUGAUUAAAUUGACUUACAUUUCCAUGGAUGAGAAGUAGUGCUUAUAAACAUCUUUUUUAAUGAAGAGAAAGAGAUCAUCCCCAAGCAAAUAUCAAAAAACAAACUUUGAGAGUGAAUCUUACUUCUCUAUUUCAUAUAGAUAAUGGUAUCAAAUCUUUCACCAUCUUUAAGAACAAAAAGUAAAAUAAAUUAAUCAAAACAAUGAUAACGUAUAAUGAAAGAAGGAUUAAAAAUAAUAAUCAAAUAUGAAACAUUAAAUAAAAGAAACUUCUUAUAAAAACUUUGCAUCUUGCCAUAAAAAAAUAUUAAAAAUCAUGAAAGAUAAAUUUGAUCAUUGAUAAAAUGAACUAUCACUUUGAGUAAUAUCGUGCUAUAAAAUAAAGAAAGAUGGAGAGAAUAAAGAAUAAAGAAAAUAUAAAAACAAUAUUAGAGAAUGUACUUUAUUAAUCAAAGGGAUGAUUAUAGUGUUUCAUCAGAGUCUCUAUUUAUAGGCAUAAGAAGCAUAAAAGAAGUAAAAAUCUAAUUCUAAUAACUAUUAGAAUUUAAAGUACAUCAAAACUUUAUUUUGAUCAUGAUGAACAUCCACUUAAUAAGAUAUUCAUAACAAAAUUAAAGUUAUUAGUUAAAAAGAACUCUAAACAUAAAAUAUAGGAAAAAAUGUGAUAACUAUAAUUAUAAUAAAUAGAGUAAUUACUUGAAUAAAAUUUUAAGCAUAUUAAUUAUAACUUAAUUAAUAUUAGAAUUAUAUAGCAAUUAAAAUUUAAGUUUAAAUAUAUAAAUAGUCUCUAGUUUUAAUUUUUUAUAUAGUUAUAAAUUUGUAUAUUAUUUUAAAUAGUUUUUACGUAUUAAAUUUAAUUAUAUUUUAGUUAAAUAUUGGUUUUAUAUUUGAUUUAAAUUAUUUUAUCUAAAAUUUGAUAUCCGUACAAAUUAUAUCCCACCGAAUCAAUAGCUUGUUGGAAUUAUUAGUUUUGUUUAAUAAAACGCAUUUAAUUUAUUUUUUGUAUUUAUAUCUAAAAAAUGUUAUAAAAAAUAGGGGUGACCAUAUGCAUACAAAUAAAUAAUGAAAUUAUAAAUAUAAUAAGUUAUGAGAUUCAACUGGCUGCCCUUUACAUGCAGUAUGAAAUAUAAGACAAAAGUUAUGGGACAGAGAGAUGAAACAAAUAUACAGGAUGCCUUCCCAAUAUCUACUUUCUGCUACAUUUAUAUUUUAGUUUGCCAAUUCAUUAUAUUCAAUUUAACCAUAUCUUAUCUUAAUUUUAUAUAUCACACUAUAUUUUUGAAAAGAAAAAAACAAUAAAUUUAUAUUAAAUUAAAUAAAAGAGAGAGAGAAUGGUCGUAACUCGCAUGGAACAACUUUGAAAACAUUAAACAAAUGGGAUUAAUGAAGGUUAAUUGAAUUGCAAUAUAAGAAAUCAUGAAAAGAUGGGUCCUUCAUCCUUGGUCCUUCCACUACCACAACGUGCUCCCCUCCCUCCUCAUCCGCACGUUCAAACUUCAAAGCUCUUAUUUCCAGGAUCUUUUUAGACAAAUUAAAUCAUCACCAUUCUAAUCACUUCAUUGCUUGCAUCAAGUAGAGAUGAUAUAUGAGUUAACCAAAAAUUACAAGGACGCCACGAAAAAUUGAGAUUCCCCCCAAAAAAUGAGCAUGGUUAACUAAGAUUAAAAGCUAAUGAAGAUGAGUAGAAUCUUUGCAGACCCUGGUGAAUGGAGAAUUGGAAAACCCAAAUGAUGAAAUCAGGGCCGUCAGUUUGGUUAGGACAGAGCGGGGACCACCACCUGGACAAGCGCACGUGGGCAGAUCCAACCACUGACUUUGCUGACAGAGAGUGUGUUGUGUUCAAUUUGUUUCUCCUGUCCUACAUUUGCCCCAACCUUGUCUGCUGCCCGGAACAUCUUCGGUCAGCUUCCCACGUGUGUUGGUCAACUCCAUUUGUGGAUUUGUUCACAAGGGAUUGGGUAUUAUUGGACAACACUAUUCAUAUAUAAUAAAUAAAAAAAACACAAGUUGCUUUCUUUUUUAAUUUUUCACAAUUAAUUAAGUUUUUUAAAAUAUUAUUAUUAUGGAAAAUAUUUUACUUUUUUGAAAGUAUGUGAUAAGGUAGGAGUUUGGAGAAGAGAAUCGUAAGGUUAGGUGGGGUUUGUUUCACUUGAUUAAUAAACAUAAGACAAUACAUCUUUUAUUUUGUUCUAUUUAUAUUUAUAUAUAUAUAUAUAUUAAGUUUUACUCUUCUUUGUUUAGUAUUUUUAGAAAACGUUUUUUUUUCUAGUUUUUAGAAUUUAAUUGUUUUGGUUAAAUCUGAUUUAAACUCAUGUAAUGCCUCAAAUAUUUUAGUUUACUUUUUUAAUUUUUUAUUUGGAAAAUGAUUAGUGUUGGAGAAAUUAAUAAUAAUGCACCACCUCAUGUCACUAUCCACAAAUGCUUUCAUCUGAUUCAGGUUUAAGAAAUCUCUAAAUAAAAUACUCUUAGAAGAUGUGAAUCAUAAAUAUUCCAACUAUUUUAUUAUACAUUUCUUUUAAUUUACAAAUAAAAUUAUAAAUACAAAACCCAUCAAAAUUGUACCAUCGAAUUAAACAAAAUCUGAAAUGACGAUCUGACGGUGGAGAAAUGAAUUUGGAGUACAAAGGUCAAAGAAAAGUGGGGGCAGAAAGGGAUGGCAUAGGAUUACGGAAGGCGACGUUGUAGGGAAACGGAGCAGACAAAGCCAGGUAAGGUUUCCCCGUGUCGCCCACCGUGCGCGUGUUUGCAUGAAAGCUGUUGCUAGGAUUGUUAGAGCCACAUGAAAGAUUAAUUCCUUAUUUUCUCAAAUAUAAAUACAACAAAUUUUAAUAAUUAAAUAAACUUUCAAUUUGCUUUAUACGCAACCAAGGAAGGCAUCAAUACGGCAUUGAUUGUAUGCAAUUUAAGUUUCUUACAACAUAGGAAAACUAAACAAGUAAAUUUUUUUUUUAUGAUUAAUUAUUAAAAAGAAUUUAAUGUAUUAUUACGAUAUCAACCUCAUGUGAUGGCUUGAUGAUUAAGGAUGCUCAUCGUCCUAAAUGUGAUUUAAGUUCGAGUCAUGCUAGUCGUGUUUAGCGUUCGAACUUUACAUUAUUAUUUUAGUUCACCAAAAAAAGUAUUAUUACGAUAUAACACUUGCUUAGGUAAAUGCCUAUUCAAAGAGGCACUUAAUAGUCCUAGUUACCAUUUCCGUAGAAGAACAUAUCCUUACCAAUCAACAAAUUGAGAUCUUAAUUAAUAGUAAUACUACGUACUAAUCUCACGACAAUCUUUGUUUAUUUUUCAAUCUUUGUUUAUUUUGUUGUAUUAGUGACAGAUUAUUAAACUAAUUAAUUAGGUAGAAUUUGCUUAGAAACUGUUUUCAACUGUAAUCCAUGCAUGGUCACCGGACAGCUCAUAAGAGACAGACAUUUAAUACGAAUCCAUUGUUUCAUUUAUUUGAUAAUUAAUAUAGUAUAGAUGUAGUGAUGCAAUUUCUAAAUAAAUGGUUUUAGAGUUAAACGGAUUAGGUUAUUAUGAUAAACUAUAUAAAAUUAAAUAGAUUGAGACAUACAAAAAUCAUAUGAGAAAAAUAAUUAAAAUAACAUGAAUAUAUGAAAUUAUCAAAUUUAAUAUAAACAUGUAAAAUUUUACAAGUAAAAAAAAAUAAAACAAUACACUUAUAAAUAUAUAUAUUUGUACAACUACAAAAUAAAGCUCAUGUACCACACGCCUAACCACACACCCAUGUACCAGGCCGUGUAUCACAUACGGUCUAGACACACGCUUGUGUGUCUACCCAUGUGAACAAAAUAAAGCCAUUUCUAGUUUCAUUUCUCACCCAAUUUUUUUACUAAGUUCUUGCACCAAACUUAUAUCCAAACACCAACUAAUCCAAGCAUUGAAUUCAAGCAAUUUAUAACAUCUAAUGUGAUAUAGUGUUGCAUGCAUUCAUACUUUUAAUCUUACCUUUUAUAAGCAUACUCAUUUAACCUUUCUGAAUCAAUCAAUAAUAAACACUUAUGUUAUCUCCAUAGAAUAAACUUAAUACAUACAUAUAUAUAUACCAAAACAUAAUCAUCACUAGCCAUUCCAAUGGCUAGAUUACAAUAAUCAUUUACAUUUACAUGCCAAUAUGGCCGAUAUAACCUAUACAUGCCAUUAUAACCAUAAUUGAUUUACCAAAUUAUACCAACAAGGCCCGAUGGAUAGUGUGAGUGAUCUCUACCAAGCUUCCAAUCCAACAAGCUUCCGAUUUACUCUAAAACAAGGAAAUAAAACUAAGUAAGCAUAAAAUGCUUAGUAAAUUCGUAUAAUAUGGUACUUAACUUACACUUCAUUUUAUUUUGAGGUAACUAUGUAAGGCAUAUUCAAUCAAUUUGAUCUCAAGCCCUACACACAUCCUCAUUGCCCUUGUUAGUCAUAUAUUCCAUAAUAACAUCAAAACAUUAAUGGGCUCAACAACAAUCAAGUUUCCGUGCACAUAUGCUUUCCACAACAUGUAUUCAUUUAAUAUGUAUAAAUCAUCUCUUUAUAUUACAAGUAUAAUUUCAUAAUAGUUCAUCUCGAGUUUAGAUUAUUUCAUGUCAGAACUUUACUCAUAUCAUUCAAAAUAUCAAGGUCACACAAGUAGUAGUACACUCAAGGUGUACAAGUCUAUAAUCAAGGAUGAACAUUCUCAUCAAAUAAUUUUCAUGUACAAAUAUCAUCAUCACAUACUUUCAUAUAUAACUUUUCAUGUAUCAUCAUUUUCUUGUAUUUCAGACGGAUAUGUGUAAUAACUUAUUUUAUUAUUCAUAUCUUCUCAUGUCCGAAUUAUCACCCGUUGAAUUUAUUGAAAUAUCGAUAGAUACACAGGUAGUACACUCAAGGUGUACAAAUCAGGAUCUGUCAAUUCAUAUUCAAUGGUACCCAUAAGACACUAUUUUAGAGUGUACACUCUCGAGCCACACAUGUAUACAACAAGAUUUCCGGUCCAGGCUAAAUCCUUUUUAUGACAUAUGCUCUAAGGAGCUUGAUCUGGAUUACCCGUCAGGGCUAAAUCCUAUCCAUGACAUAUGCUCGAGAGGAUUUAUAUCAAGAUUACUCGUCUGGGCUAAAUCCUUUCUGUAAUGAGGUCAAUAGGAUUACUCGUCUGAGCUAAAUCCCGUCAGCAACAAAUGCAGGACCUCAUUCAUUUCGAGAAAUCGCAUAUCCAUUGAUUUUCCAUUUAUUCAACUGGGAUUUAAACAUUUUUCAAGCAUUAUUGGGCAUGUGAUUAUUUCAUACAUUCAUAACAUUCAUAUAGAUCAAGUAAACACAUUCGACAUUCAUUUCAAGCAUAUAAGUAACAUUUUUAUCAUUCAUCAUUUAUCGACAUUAUUAUUGAUCGGGCUUUGUCAGAUAUAUAUUUUCAAUGUCAUAUAUAUAUGAUAUUUAUACAAUUCACAAACACAACAUUUAAUUCAAGCAUAUAAAUAUACACAAUUUAGUUACACGAACUUACCUCGAAAAUGUUCGUGUACAUAAAAUCUACUAAUCCGACAUUUUCCACUUUCCUCAUUUUGGCUCCGAAUUUGGUAUAUUUGGAUCUAUACGAGUAAAUUUUAUAUCAAUUUAUCACAUUUCAUAUUCAAGUGGACUCAAUUUACAUCCUAGGAAAAAUUACCAUUUUGCCCCUAACUUUUCCAUAAAUUCUCAUUUUGUCCCUAAGCUCGAAAAAUGAAAUUUAUGCAAUUUACUCCCUAUUCCAAGCCUAACUGAAAUUUCAAUAUAGAAUUUGCAGCACAUAUUUUCUAUAAAUUUCAAAAUUUUUCAUCAAUUUUCACAACUUUACAUUUUAGUCCCUAAAUCAUGUUUUCAUCUAAAAUCACUUUGUAAAAGUUGUUUAUCUAUCAAUAACCUUUCAUUUUCUACCAUAAAUUUCUAAUUUUCAGCAUAUACAUCCAUGACCUAAUUUCUAUACUUUGAUAACUCUUCAAAUUGAUCCCCCAAAUAGAUAGAUUAAGCUAGCCCGGUUUCAAAAAUAUCAAAAUUACUAAAAACGGGACAAGAAAAUUUACCCAAUUUGGCUAAGAAAGUUUCUUCUCUCUCUCCUAGAGUUUUAAUUGAAUAUUUUGGGGAAGAAGAUGAUAAAAAUGAUUUUUGUUUCUAUUUAAUUAAUUUAUCAUCUUUAAUAAUUUUGAUUUUCAUUUUAGUCCUUAGCCUUUUUCUAAUUUUCCAUGGAUGAAUCAUCCAAAAAUAUCUACUAACUUUUUAUUAAUGGUCUAAUUACCAUAUAAGGGCCUCAAGUUUUGAAUUCUAUAGCUAUUUAAUCCUUCCAGCUACUAGAAUUUAACUUUUACAUUUUAUGCAAUUUGGUCCUUUCCGUAAUUAAACACAUAAUCGGUAAAAUUUUCUUAUCAAAAUUUUCACAUGACAUUUCUAACAUAUUAUGGACCAUGUAAUAAAAUAAAAAUAAAUUUUAUUUUCGGAUCGGAUCAGAUUUGUGGUCUCGAAACCACUGUUUCGAUUUCACUGAAAAAAUAGGCUGUUACAAACUUGAGCAUUUUGUUACUAAAUUUUAAAGAUGCAGGGACACACGACCAGACCACACGCCCAUGUGCUAGGCCGUGUGUCUGAGACACACACCCGUGUAGUUGAAAAUAUGCCAUUUUAAGGCCACAUUUCUCACACAUUCUUGAUUUCAACCUAGACACCUCAAAUUCAUACUCAUAUGCCAUAACAGAACCUUCAAUACAACCAAUUCUUAGUUCUAAAAAUGCCAUAUUAUUAUUACAUAUGUCCUAAAAUUCUAAACUACUACAUUAAUCAAUUCACCUAUUUGAUUACUUACAACAACCAUAUUUUAUCAACUUAUUCACCAACCUACCUAUAAAUUUAUCUAUCAAUUAAUCACAUCUAAAAAUAUAUCAAGCAUGAUAGAACUACACAUACAUUUUUAAGUUGCUUAAGUGAACAAAACAUCAUUCAUACAUUUAUACAAGCUAACCUUGAUUAAAUACACACCAACCCUAUACAUGCCAUAUAAACCAUAAAGUAAGUUUCAAAGACUAUCGGAAUAUGCUGGAUAGUGUGACUUGUUGUGCUGAUCCGAUCUCCCGACCUUAUAUUAAUCUACAAAGACAUUAAACAACACAAGUAAGCUUAAUGAAGUUUAAUAAGUUCGAUGGCUUAAACAUAAUUCUUACCGAGCCUACUAUAACACAUCAAUUAAAUAAAUUCAUUCAAUAUAACUUCUUUCCAAUCACAACUUCAAUCGAUGAAUACACUUAUUUCAGAUCAAUACCAAUAAUAUCAAUAAGUCUUCCAAAAUCAACUCCAUAUGUCACUUACCAAACCUUACCGAUUCAGAGAACGGUUUACGGAUAUGAGUAUAUCGUUUUUAGAAGCCCGAAGGCUAAACAGAAGCACAUAAGUGAUAAAUAAAAACCCAUAAAGGUUGAACAAAAGCUCAUAAGAGCUGAACAGAAACCUAAUAGGGUUAAACAGAAGCUGAACGAAAACUCAUAUGAGCUAAACAGAAACUCGUGAGAGCUAAACGAAAAGUAAACACAAAAGUUCGCAACAAAUGCUGAACCUCGAUUUACUUGGGUAAUAUUUGUCGUCAAUUCUUCCUUUGCUGCCUUUUGCCACAUAACGAUUGUACUCAAUCUCGUUUUCCAUUUAAAUGCGGAUAUUCACUUCAAAUUUAUAAAUUUAACAAUAUUCCAUUGUUCAACAAUAUACUAAAUACAUAAUAUCAUUUAUCAAUUCAAUAUAAUUAUUAAAUAUAAAAUAUAAAAUUACUCAUUCAUUAGCAUAUAUUUUAGUUCCAAUUCACUUCACAAUUAAUACCUCUUAAUUUUUUAAAUUACAUAAUUACCCUAAUUUUUACAACUUUUGCAAUUUAGUCCCCUUACUAAUUAGUCCAUCAAAUGAACUAAUUUUUCUCAAUUGAUAAUUUAUCUAAAUAUUCUAGGAUAUCUUACAACCCUUGAUACAUAGAAAUUUAAUACCAAACCCUAAUUCUUUAAUUCUUCACAAUUUACUCCUAAAAUCAAUAUUUUACAACAAAAUUAAAGCUUUAAAUCCAUGUUAUUUCAUCACAAAUAUAUAGUAUUCAUAAUGGUAACUUUCAAAUUUUCCAAUAAAAUUAGAAAUUAAUGAAAUAGUUAGUUGGACCUAAUUGUAAAAGUUUCAAAAAAAUAAAAAUUUCAAGAAAAAUGUAAGAAUUGAACUCACAUGAAGCUAAAAUAUGAAAAACCAGCUUAAGGAGCUCUCCUAUGGCUGUUUUUGGCUAAAGAUUGAUGAAGAAAUGUCUAGAAAAUAAAUUAGCCAUUUGUUUUAUAUUUUUUCUUAAUUUCACUAAAUGACCAUUUUACCCUUAAUUCAUUUUAUUUUAUUUCCUUCCUUGCUUAUGCCGCCUCAUGCCUAUAUUUUAGGCUUAAUUGCUCUUUAAGUCUUCCAUUGUUUAACAUUUAUGUUAUUUAAUCACUAUUUCUUUUAAUUAGCAAGUUUUGCACAUUUUUCAAUUUAGUCCUUUUUAUUAAUUAACUAUCAAAACGUUAAAUUUUUCUAACGAAACUUUAAUACUACCGUAAUGACACUCUAUAAAUAUUUAUAAAAAUAUUUAUGGCUCAAUUUAUAAAAUCAAGGUCUCGAUACCUCGCUUUCUAAACCACUUAACCUAAUAAAUCCUUAUAAAACAGAAAUUAAUAACUCAAAAUCAUUCUAAAAUCAUAUUUAACUCGUAAAUACUAAAAAAUAAAAUUUACAAGCUUACUCUUCAGAUUUAGUGGUCUCGUACCACUGUUUUCGACACCACUAAAAAUCAGGCUGUUAUAGUAUGAUUUUGGGUCACAAGGUUUUCCACACAACCAUGUGUCACAUACGGGUUGGUGACACGGUCGUGUGCCAUUGGAUUAUAGGUUGCUUUUAGAUCACACGGUUUUAGAUUGUCACAAGGGCUGGCCACAUACCUGUGUGAGUAUUUUAGAUUUGGUAAGUCUGUUUGCCAUACAGUUACAGUUAGUUACACGGCCCAGUCACACGGUCAUUUAACUUUUGUUGGAUUUUUACACUUUGACCCACACGGCCUCAGUGUGUUACAUGGCCUAGAUACACAGUAGUGUGACUCAAUGUUACAUGGUUUAAGUCUAUCACACAACUUGGCUACACGGCCGUGUGACCUCUAUUUUAUACUUUUGCCUCUCUUUUGUAUAAAGUUUCAAAUUAGUCCUUGUUUGGUUCUGAAUUGAUUUUAGAGUUUUCGUAAGCUCGAUUUAAGCUCAAAUUUGUAUGCAAAUCGUGUUUUAUUUGAAUGAAUGUGAUUUAAUGAAUGUUAAGAUGAAUAUUUGAUUUAAAUUCACAUGUUCAUAUUUUUUUAUUAUUGUAGCAUCCUAUAACCGCAUUUUGACGACAGAGGCAAGUGAGGGGUGUUACAAACCUCAUGUUUCACACGAGCAGCAAUCAAAUGUUGAUCUUCAUUAUUCAAAUGUGUUCAAUCAUUUCUAACCCAAAUUUUUCAAUGUCGUGGUUUUCUUAUUCCAUUCAUUAUUCUAACAGGUUUUGUAGCUAAGUUGAACUUCUUCCAAUCUCACAUCAUUCUAUAAUAAUGGGGUCUAAUAUGUCCAUCUUUCCCACAAUAAUGGCAUACAAUCUUUCUAAAGUUUUUAUUCCCUACCUUAUGACAAAAAUAAGAACCCACAGGUUUAACUUUUAAAAAAAAUAGGAGGAGCAUCACAUAAUAUGUAAACAUCCAAAAUCAAGCAUCACAUUAGGCUCAAGUUCAUGAACAUUCAAAAUAACACAUAUACAAUACGAAUCCUAUAUACAUGCCACAUAAUCGAGUUUAGAAAAAAUAAAAGACUACCGAAUUGAAGGCUUUGUAGUGUGAGCUUCGAAGUGAUCUGAUCUCUUCGUUCUGCAAAAGAUAACUAAAAGCAGAGAAAAUACAACAAAGUAAACAUUGUGUGUGCUUAGUAAGUUCAUAGGAAUUAAAACAAUAAACUCACCAAAAUUUCUAAUUAAUAUAACAACUUUCCUAUUAUCACAUUUCACAUCAGUCAAGUGAGCUCACCAGUUAUAAUUUUACAAUAUUUCAAUACAUGCAAUACAUUUUCAUUUAGUAUCAUCCUAUCGAAAGCAUUAAAUACAUACGUCAUUUCAUCAUUUCAAACAUAUAGUCAUUUCCAAUUAAAAUAUAUUAUCAAUCAGAUAUUUUAUGUUUUACAAUAACCAUAUAUUCUGAUGAACAAUAAUAAAUAGAUACAUAUAUGGAUACGCAAGUAACCACCAAAAACACACCAGAUUGCUUAUUCAAGCGAUAACUUCGAAACACACCUAAGCACCAAAGUGCUAAAUACAUCCCCCCAGAACACACCAAGAUCUCCGUAGAGACAAUCAGUAACAGUGGUCUCUGUAGAGACAAAACUCGAUAUUCACAACAAAUGUUGGAUUCUGGUUUAAACAGUGAAUUUUUCGUACAUCAGUAUCAUCUCAUAUCAUAUCUCGUACAAUGCACAACUAACUCUAUUGAAAUCUCAAUUGUAUCCUAUCCUAUCUUAAGUUCAUUUUGGUACAUUUAAAAAAUUAGUUCUUUUUUUUUACAAUUCAAUCCAUCUCUCACAUUUUUGUACCAUUUUGCAUACAAUUCAAAACACAUUCAAAUUAUAUAAAUUCAUAAUUCAAACACAUACAUUAAAUUUACAUAUGCAACUAUACCAUUUGAACUUAUCUACAAAAACUGCUAGCGAGUUGAAGUGUAUGGACUAUUUAACAAUUCCCUAUUUUUCUUGAUUAUCUACUAGUUGAUUCAAAUCUUAAUCUAUAUGAUAAUUCAUUUCAGUUUAUCAAUUUAAAAUGUAUUAUAACAGUUUAUUUCAUGCAUAUCACAAUUUUAUUUUAUUUUAUAGAAAUUUCCUAAAGUUUUGCAUUUUAUUCAAUUUAGUCCUUUAAGCGAAAACUAUUAUAUCUUUCACAUUUAAGUCCCGUUUUGCAAUACAAUUUCGAUGAUAUCCUUAUAAAGCCCUCUAAUAUCUAUAAUUAUAGAAAUUUCAUGCUAAUUUUGAAUUAUUUUCAUUUUAGUUCCUAUACUCAAAACUCGCAUUUAAACUUACAAAUUAGUCCAUUCUUCAUUUCUAAGCUUAAAAGCUACCACUUAAACACCAAAAACUUCAAAAUUUAUCAAAGAAAACAUUUAAAAUCUUUAACAGUUUUACAAAUUAAUGCUAGAAUUAACUAAAUCGAGUUACAACAAUCUCAAAAACAUAAAUUUUAUAUUUAAAAAAAAAAGGGGCUUCAAAAACACUUACAUGCAAGUGUUGGACCUUCAAGCUUCAAAAAUGUCUUCUUUUCUUUAUUUCUUAUGGACAAAUAGUGGGGGUGUAACAGCCCGUUUUUCAAUGGUGUCGAAAACCAUAGUUUCGGGGUCACCAAAUUUGACAAGUAAGUUUGUAAAUAUUAUUAUUUAAUAUUUACAAGUCAAAUAUGGUUUUAAAAGGAUUUUUGAUGAAAAAAUUUAUGCCAUUUGAAUGAUUAAUUAAGUUCAAGUCGUAAGACCCUAAGAUCAAGUGGUUCUAGAAAACGAGGUAUUGGCACCUCAUUUCUAUAAUUUGAUAAAAAUAUUUACGGAGUGUCAUUAAGGUGGUAUUAAAGUUUCGUUGAAAAAUUUUAACGCUUCGAUAGUUAAUUAAUUAAAAAGGACUAAAUUGUAAAAGAUGUAAAAUUUAAUCACUAUUUGAUUUGUAUGAUUAAAUGGUUAAUUAAAUAAAGGAAAAGGGACUUAAAUGGUAAUUAAACCAUGGUUAAAGUUUCCAAGCGGUGGUGUUAUGAUUGAAUCCACUAGCUUUUGGAUUAAUUGUUCUUUUGGUCCUAAUUAAUUUGGGAUUAAAUUGUAAAUAAGUUUAUUUAGUUAGAAUUUAAUUAAAUUAAAGGACCAAUUGUGAAAUUAAGCCUUCCUUUGAUGAUAAUUAUGCCAUAUAUUUAUGUGAUAGACAAAUAUGGACAUGACUUUGGUGUUUUAUUUAUUUAUUUAACCAAGGGCAAAAUGGUAAUUUGAUAAUUAAAUUAAAUUAAUAUAAAAUCAAAAUGUUUUAUAUUUAUUUUGAUGACUUCUUCUUCACGAAUGAAAAAGCAAAAAGAAACCAUUGAAGCUUGAAGUUUCGAUCAUUCUUUUGAUGUUGCAUGUAAGUUCAGUUUAGCCCCGUUUUUUAAUAAUUUUUAUGUUUUUGAAAUCGUUGUAACUAGGUCCAGCUAGCCCGUACCGUCAGUUUUGAAACUGUUAAAGAUUGUGAAUGUUGCCAUUGAUGAAUCUAUAUGAUUUUAGUUAUUAAAUGAUGAAUUUGAGAAGUUGGUUGAUAGUUAAAAGCAUCUUGUUAAGUAAUUUUGAUGAAUUUUCUAAUUAAGCAUUAACUUGUUAAAAUAGAAAAAAUACAAUGGUUUUUUGUGAAAUUAUUGCAAAAAUGGGCUGUAAUGAAUGCCAUGAAGAUUCGGCUAGCUUGGGUUUGCAUUAAAAAUGGUUAAUUUGCAUGUUUUAGGCUCAGGACUAAAUUGAAUAAAAGUAAAAUGUUAGGGUUAAUUUUGUAAAAUUAUAAAAAAUAAAUUUCAUAAAAUAAAUCAUUUUAUUGUCUGAAUUAAUAAAUUGAAUGAAUUUAUUAAUUUAGAUCAAAGUCGAAUGGAAAAUCGAGGAGAAAGGAAAAUUACCAAAAAGCCCCUAUACUUUGACAUUUCUGUAAUUUAGCCACAUAAGUUCAUACAAUUAGAAUUUAACAUCGAUAUGAAUUUUUGAGUAGAUUAAUGUGGUACAAAUUGUAUAUUUAUUUUUUUUAUUUUUGAUAAUUAAUGGUAAUUUGAGAUAUAAUAUUGAAUUUGAUUACUUGGAUUAGAUUGAACGUGGAGCAUUGGUGUGUUGGAGGAUUGGCUCUUGUGAGCAUCUGGUGUGUUUAGUUGGACUGAUAAUGUACUCAUAUCUAUAAGUUGUUCUUCAUAUGAAAAAUCUCGGUAAGAUAAAUUGUUUAAUGAAUUUAAAAGAUUUGUUAUUUAUUGAAUAUUGACUUGAACAUAAAUGAAAAUGAGAUAUGCUCUGACUAAAUGAGAAACAUAAGUUAUGUACUCAUGAAUUGAGUAUUGAAUGGCUAAUGCCAAUGUAUAAACAAUUGUGGUUUGAUAUGUGAAUAGUAGUUUAUAUAGCAAUUGUGUGAAUUGGGACAUUGUUAAUCAAAUAAAAGAUGUUAGCAUGUGCAAUUUGAGUAUAAUACGAAAUGAUGUUGAAAUGAUGUGCUAAUAUGUACGAAUUCAAAAAGUUGACAUAUGAUAGUUGUGAUCUUAGUCAUUAAUAUGUGUUUAUAUUUUAAUUAUGCCUUUUGUAAUUCUAUAAUCCGAACCUAAUUGUUAAUUGUUGUCAUUCAAUUUAAUGCAUAUGUUAAGUGUUUGAUGUGAGUAUUUGACAUUUUGAUAGUUGAUUGAAAUAGAUUGAAUUGGUAUAAAAAUUAUGAAUGUGGUGAUUAUUUGAAUUGAAAUGAAUAUAUGUGUGUGUGUGUGUGUGUGUGUGUGUGUGUGUGUGUGUGUGUAAAUGUGAUAAUGUGCAAAUAUGAUAAUUGGAUAUUGGUUGUAUUUGGAAGUGGAUUGGAACCCUAUUAAUUAUAUCAGGCUGAGUCAGAUAUAGAUGGCAUGCCAUAGGAUAGGAAAAGUUUAGGGAUUUCUUCGACUUCGAGUCGAUGAGGCACUGGGUGCGAAUUUACUUUGGUUUAACCGAUGAUACACUGUAUGUCAAUUUAUAUAACGCUAGGCUCAGAUACUACUUUGGAUUUAUCUGAAAAGGCAUUGGGUGCCAAACUGGUGUGUUGGUUGGAUCCGUGUAUCUAUCCGAGUCUGAGUCGUGUUAAUAAGGGUAAUUAAAUAAAACGAUACUAUGAUUGAUAUUGGACCAUAUCGUAUGAGAAUUGAAAAUGGGAUAGUAAUUUGAAACAUGAAAAUAAGUUAUAUACAUAAAUGCACUAACUUAUGUAUUGAUGAUAGUGAUUAGGCUUAUGUCAAGCUUGAGAUUAUGAUUAAUGUAUAUGCUUAUGCCUGGUAUUAUACAAAUGAAACAGUAAGUUCAAAACUGAAAUGUGAUAUGAUGAAAAAGGGAUUGAUGAGUUGAAUAAUGUACUUAUGUAUGAGAAAUUACGUAUGUUAUGGUUGAACUUACCUAUGUUAUGAAUAAAUAUAUUAAUUAGUUAAUUGAUUUUGUUAUUUAAGUUUAUAUUUAGUAAAUGGAAUGGAAAGUAAGUAAAGGAAGUUAUUCAAAGUAAGUAAAAGAAGUUAUUCAUAGUUUUAUGAAAAUGUUAAUGAUGGUGUAAAACGUUUUAUAAAAUCUUAUUAUGUUAGGAAUGAACAGAUAUAUGAUGUUGAUAGACUUACUCAUUUAUGAGUUAGUGGUUAUGUAGUUGAUAAAUCUUGAGGCAUUGAUAUAGCUUUAUAUUUAUCAUAUAAAGCUUAUUAUUGAAUCAGAAUAUUAUGUUUAAAGUUUGUAUGAGCUUACAAGCAUUCAUUGCUUACGUAGUUGUUUAUCCCUUUACAGAUUAUUGGAAGCUCGAUUGGGUUGGAAGCUCGUUGGAGAUCUAUCACACUAUCCAACGAUUAUAUUGGUAGAUUUUGAUAUUUUGGUUAAGGUUAUAAUGGCAUGUAUAGGUUGAUUAUGUCUAAUGUUUAAUUGAUGAUUUUGGUAUAUAUGUAUGUCAUUUUGGUUGACAAUUAUGGCACGAAAUGUUGCCUUGAAUUUGAAGUACUUAAGGUACUAUUGAUAUCUUCUGGGUUAUGGUUAAUAUGGUCAAUUUGAUGCAUGUUUAGAAAUAACCAAAGUUGGUAUAUGUUGUAUCGAUCUCAAUAUGGCCAAGACAUGGUAUGUUUUGGAAAAGUCUAGAAUAAAUGUGCAUGAUUGAAAUAUGGUAUGCCUAAUAUGAUAAGGUUGGUAUGUGUCAAUUGUGUUAUGUAUUGGUAUGGAAACAAGUCAGUUGGUAAAUGGUAUAAAUGUGGUCAAAUAUAGUGAGAUUAUUUUUGAUAUAGCAUGGAAAUAGUAUUGAGAUUAAUUAGAUAUGUAUGGUUAAGGUUUGAACAAAUAUGAUCAUGUAUAUAUAUAAGUUGAUGCUUGAUGAUUGAGGUGCCUUUUAGCAUAUUGGUUGUAUGAAGAUUUGGUAUGGAGAUUAGUCAUUCUUUGCAUAAUUUGAGUAUGUUUAAAGGCCUUGUAUACAUGUACAAAUUUCUUGUAGGUUUAUGCUUUAAAGGGUGAAAGAAAUGGCUUGGAAGUGGUCAUUUUCUUGUCCACACGACCUAAGACUCGGGCAUGUGUCUCAACCGUGUGUGACACACGACCAGGUGACAUGACCGUGUGUCUCCUGUAAUUUUUAAAGGGUUACAAGUCAAGCUAUUAUAUGGCCUAGCACACGACCUAACACACGGGCAUGUGAGGUUAUUUCGAAGGGUACAUAGCCUAGCACACGGUUGUGUGACUUGGCCGUGUGACCAAGUCAUAGAGUUCCACGGCCUAGGACAUGGGCAUGUCUCCCUACCGUGUAAGUCACACGGCCUGACCACACGGCCGUGUGACCCCUGCAACUUUGAAAUUUUUCUAUGUUUUUCGAAAAUUCUCUGAGUUUCCGAUUUAGUGCCGACUUGUUUCUAAUGCGUAUUUAGGGCCUUGAAGGCUUGUAUAAGGGACAGUAUAUAUAAUUCUGAUUGGUUUUAUUAUGAAUAUUGAUAUAUUAUGAAACGUUUGAAAUUUCUACCUGUUUGAUCCGUAAACCCUGGUAAUGCUCUGUAACCUUGUUCCGGCGACGAAUACAGGUUAGAAGUGUUACAGGGGGAAAGAAAAAUGGUUGAAGAUGACCAUUUCUUUUCAUAUUUUAAUGCUUAAAGUUUUAUAAUAAUAAAAUUUACAUUAAUUUUAACAUAUAACUUACUAAAUAUUAAACACCAACCGUGGACUAUAAUAAAAAGAUGGAUAAUUGUCAUUUCAAACAUUAAUAAAUUUUUGUUUAAACCUUUUUAACUAGUAAAAAUUAAUAGCAAUUAUUUUUUUAUAAUUUUUCCAAUUUAGUCAUUAUACUUUAAUUACAAAUCGUUCAACAAAAUUAUAGGAAAAAAAGUCAAUAUAACACUAUAUUAUACUCAUAAAUAUUAAUUAAUAAUAUUUACGGGCUCAAUCAUCAAAAAUGGAGUUCUGAAAUCAUUUUUUUCGACACUACUGAAAAUAGUCUAUUACAAGAUUAAUAUUACAUAAAAUAAAAAUCUCCCACUCUCGUGCCUCACCCUCUCCCCUUCCUCCAUCGAACCUCUCCCUACCACCGUCCCCACCCUUCUCUCCCUCUUUCUCUUUCUUGAUCUUGUUGCAAAUUAAGGAAUUUAAAAUUAGCUUUUGCUAAUUACCUCCAACUCAGAACAAAAGUUACAAGGGUCAUCCUCAGCUAAAAUAAGCUGCUCCAAACCUUACCACUUUUCCAUUCCCAAUUUAACCAUCAACCAUACUACAUUCACCAUUGCAAAUCCUUAAAAAAAAUUAAAACAUAAGCACUGAAUAAAGAAGGAAAAAAAAUAAAGACCCACUUGAUUUGUAGAACAAAACCUCCAUUGUUAUCACUAUUCUCAUUCCCAUAGAUGGUAUUACAAUUAGGACUUUGAGGAUGAUGGUUUUCAUCCAAAGCUUCAGGCUUUAAACAAAGCAUCAUUGUAAGAAUGCCAACAAUGAAAAUCUAAUACACACUCAAGAUUGUAAUUUUAGUUUAAUUUCAUAAUUAGUGGUUCAUUUUCUUUCUUCUUCUUGCACCUGUUGAACACAUAGAAAUCUAAUGACUCCACCAACUACAGACGACCUUUUCAAGACAAAAAGAGAAGAAAAUCAACAUGGAAAUUAAUUUUUCCAACUGCUACAAAUAGGUCUAAAGGAAAAUGACAAAAGAUGAAGAGAGAAAUGGAGUACAAAUGGUAUGAUGGAGAGGGAGAAGUAGAGGGACGAGGGUGGGAAGGGAAGGGGAGGGUUUUUUUUUAUGUAAUAUUAAUAUUAAAUGAAAUUUAAAUUUAUUAUUAUAUUUUUUUGAAAAUAUUUAUGCUUUUUUAAUAUAUUUUUUGGAAUUUUUUUAGAAUUAGGAUAAAAUUAAGAACAUUUCUAAAUUUUGAAGGUUAAUUUUUUAAAAUUAUGACCAAAUCGAUUUAAUGUAAAAGUUAAUGGCUAAAUUUGUUAUUAUUCUAAUUUUUUCAACUAUCACUUAGCUUGCCUUUUGUGAUUUUAACGGGAGUUUCCAAAAUGACCAAACUAUGUAACAAGAGUACUUAAAUUACAAUUUUUUUAUUUUAUUUUAGGUACCUAAAAUGAAAAUUUUUUAUAAUUGAGUGACUAUCUAUAUAGUUUACCCUUUUAAAAAUCAUAUUUGACUUACUCUUUGAAAUUAAAAAUCAAAUUUAACUUCAUCUUUGAUCUUUCUUGAUUUACUCCCACGAUUUACCUUGAUUUUCUCUAUUUAUCGUUGCACAAGAGCCUAUAAAUAUCACACCUACCAACAUACUUCAAAGGCACCAAAAAAAUCUCUUUUUUUCUCCCUCUUUUAAGUAUUUUCUUAUUAUUUUUCGUUGUUCCUACAAACAAAUUAUCUUUAAGAAUAAUGUCCAGCAUGUCUUAAGUUUAAAAAUUCAAAUUUUUGUUUUCUUAAUUCAUUCAAGUUAUCAAAGUUGAGGUUGUACCAUUUAUAUUGCAUAUAAUCACAAAUUCACAUGCUAAAUUACUGAAGUUAACUAUGUAUUUAACAUAUUAAUCACAACAAACAACUUUCAUUACAAUCAUUUUUAACUCAUUAAAGUAAAGUAAAACACAUGUUAAAUUAUAUUUGGCAAAUUAAAAUAUAUGAACUUGGUUCAAAUAAAAAUACACAAACAUCAUGAUUUGCCAAACACUAAACACAUCCAAAUGUUACAACUUUGUUCAAACAAAAUUCAAGAACUAUUUCCACUUAGCUAUGGCUAACUCAAAUACACAUUUCCAUCCCUUUCUUCAUGUUAACAAAUCAAACAAAAAAAAAACAAUUUUACAUAAGUUCUUGUUAGCUAUUUUUCAUUGGUUAAUAAAACAUCAAAGCUGAAUUUUCAACAUUCCAAUUUCAUUAUUUAAAUCUUCAUUAUAUGAUGAGUUCACUUUAUUUGUCUCAACACCAUUAUCCAUUCUUAACUCUACCUUCUCUCUAGCAAUUAUUUUGUAAUGUUAGAGUAAAGGGUCUGUUAGUCUAUUACUAAGUUGUUAUCUAAUCUAGUAAAUUGUUAGCAGCAGUUAAGCAUACACUUGUAUAUAAACUCUUUCCCUAUACCUAUCCAAGCAAGAAUGAAAUACUAGUAUUGCUUAGUAAAUCUUGUUUACCUCAUAAUUGUUUCUUUUAUUCAAUUCAAUAGAGUUAUUAACAUGGUAUCAGUCGCCUGAUUUCCUGGAACCUCCUCUCUUUGCAAAUCCAUGGCAAAUUCCACCAACUCUACUUCCAUUGCCUUCUUCUCUAGCUCUCGUUUGAUUUAAUCAUUUCCUCACCAUGCUAUAGUGAAGUUAGAUGAUGUCAAUUUUAUGCAAUGGAAGCAACAUGUACAAUUGAUCAUUAAAGGUUAUGAAUUGCAAGGUUUUCUAGAGGAUACGUUACAUUUCCACUUUGCUUUGUGUCUUCUCUAAAUGGAGUUUUAACUCCAAAUCCUGAUGCAUCUCUCUUUAUUCAACAAGAUAAGUUACUUGCCUCUUGGCUUCUAUCUACGAUUAGUGCCUCACUGCUAUCUUGUUUCACAAUUGCUAAAAUAGCUUGUGAAGUAUAGAGCACUGUGAAUCGGCUAUUUGCUACUGCCACUGGUGCUAAAUUUCCAGAAUUAAGCAUGACCUACACUCUAUCAAGAAAGAAGCGUUAACUAUCAAAGAAUAUAUUGCCAAGAUCCAAAAUACCUAUACUUUGCUUGAGGCAUCUGGAUCUGUCGUUUUGAAGGCUAAGAAGGUAGAGGUUAUGCUUACCGGUCUCUCGUCAGAUUUUGAUGCUGUGUUAACAUUAGUGUCUUUCUUUUCUGAGAAACUUUCGUUUCAAAAGAUCAUUGAUGUCCUCUUGGAGUUCAAGAGUCGUCAGACUCGUACGGUGCAUGAUGUGUCAUUUCAUGCCAACAUGGUUGAGGCUCCUUCGACUACAGCAGGGGUAGAUUCUGUUCGUGGAUGUGGUCGUUCUUCCUCUGCUUCUCAUAGGCGUGGCUUUCGACAAUGGAUUCAAUAUUAGAUCUGUAGUCAUUAUAGUUAUCUGGCACAGCGGUGUUUCUAUCACUACAACUGUGAUUACGACGGUCUAUCUCUUCCGACCGCAGCACGUUACUUAUCUACUCUUGAUGGAUGAGAAUCUCGUGGAGAUAUGUUCACUCAAUCUGAUGGUUUUGGUGGGUCUGUGUAGUAUGUUGAACCGUCGAUGGUAGCACUGAUACCGUUUAUUGGUGGCUUCUCGUGGAGAGGGUGGCCUUCGAUGCAAAAUUAUGCUUCACAUCUACCGUAGGUUAGUGUUUCCAAUCCUUUUCACUAUAAUUCAUUUGAUGAGUUAGGCCAUGUAACUGGGCCUGAUAAUGACCCAGGUUUGAAUGGUCUAUAUGGGACUUCACAUAUGCCACGUGAGGUGGGUCAGCAAAUUGGGCCCUCUACUACUGUUCACAAACCGCCUGCUACUGGUAAAACGGCUGGGCCUUCUGUUUUUUAUGGGCAAGCUGCUGCUAGUCCAAAACUUAGCUAAACCUCUAUGAGACCGAAUGUUAAUUGUAUUGGUCUUGAAGACCACACAUCUACUAUACCAAAUGGUGGGCCCAGUGUUCCGUGGCAGACUAAACCAAGAGCCCAAGUUUUUUAUUUUGAGUCCUCGCCGUCCUCGCUUUGUAUUGCGUUGCCCCGUAUUCCUGACUUUAAUGCGUCUAUUUUUUGGCUGCUUCUAAAUCAAAUGCUAAUACCACUUAGUAUGGUUCUAAUUUUGAUAAUAAUGAUUCAUAUGUUCCUCUGCCUGUUAGAGCUUCAUCUUGGUAUUCAUCUUCGGGGGCUAUACACCACAUUUGUCAAAAUACUUCUAGUUUAAAUGGGUCUACUCCAUACUCAUGUACUUAUUCUAUUUUAAUAGGUAAUGGAGCUCCUGCUAAAAUCUCAUAUAUUGGAAUUAUAUUUUAUCUACAGAGAAAAAAUUACUACAUCUGACUAAUGUUUUAUGCGUGCCAAGUAUCCAAAAGAAUCUGAUGUUUGUUUUUCAGUUGGCUAAUAACAAUAAGUAUUUUUUGAAUUUCACCUGUCUUAUUGUGUUAUUAUGGACAUCCAGACUUAGGAAAUUUUGUUCGGGGCCACACUCGUAAUGGUCACUAUCAACUUUCGGCCAUUUCAUCUGUUUCAUCUGAUCUAGUUUCGUCUGUUCACAACACUAGGAUUCAAGAGUGUACUACCACUAAUGAUGUUUUUAUAUUGUGGCAUCAAAGAGUUGGUCAUCCUCCCGCCUUGAUUGUUAAAAUUGUUCUUGAUAAAUGUCAAAUUAUUACUAAUAAAAAAUUUCUUGAUAAUAUUUGUAUUGCAUGUCAAAAAGGGAAAUCACAUAAAUUGUCUUUUUCAUUCUACUACUGAGUAAAUGAAUUUUUUUGAAUUGGUUGUUUCUGACUUGUGAGGACUGCCUUCGGUUGUCUGUAAGGAAAAAUUGUACUAUGUUUCAUUUAUUGACAUGUGUAGUCGUUUCACGUGGAUUUAUCUGAUUCAACGUAAAUCUUAAGCAGUUGAGUGAUUUAUUCAGUUUCAGAAAAUGGUCAAAACUCAGUUUGGAAAGGAAAUUAAAAAUUUUCAAAGUGACUAGGGAGGUGAAUUCCAUGCCUUUACAUCAGCUUUGGCUAAUCAUGGUGUUCUUUAUCGUUUCUCCUGUCCAUAUACGUCCGAACAGAAUAGUGUUGUUGAGCGUAAACAUCGCCACAUUGUUAAGACCGGUAUUUCACUCUUGGCCCAAGCCAAUUCGCCCAUGGAUUACUGGGGAUAUGUCUUCUGUAGUGUCGUUCAUUUCAUAAAUAGUCUACCUACUUCAGUUCUGAAAGAUUAAUCUUCGUAUAAAGCUCUUCAUGGUCAAGAACCUACAUAUGAUCAUUUAAGGAUGUUUGGUUGUUGUUGUUUCCCAUAUCUACACCCAUUUUUACACCACAAGUUGGACUUUCGUUCCCAGCCGUAUAUAUUCUUGGGGUACAAUUCAUAACAUAAGGGUUAUUAUUGUCUCACACCAGAUGGUAAGGUCAUUCUCUCUCAUCAUAUUGUUUUUGAUGAAUAUUGUUUCUUGUUCAAUUCACCUACAUUGGACACUGCUCAGCAUAGUCCGUAUGUCACCACAUAUGUUCCUAUAGUUCAGUCCUCUCAGUCCACGGUGGCUGCUACUUCAUCCACUGCAACCUCACAUUCUGCUUCCAUCUAUAGUCCCCAACAGUCUAUACCGGUUGAAUCACCUGCUACUGUAUCUGACGAAUUGCCAGUUGAAGUAGAUUCUGAUCAUGUGGUUCACUACCUUUUCGCCUCUUCAAACAGGGAUAGUUCGCCCAACCCAGUUUCUUCGACCACUCCACUUAUUCCUUCAGGAAAUACUCACUCUAGAGUUACAAGGUCUAAAGCAGGUAUUUUUAAACCCAGGGUUUUAACUGUUGAAACUACUGAUUUUGAGCCGCACACAAUUAAGAAAGCUCUUACUAAUCCAUAUUGGAAAUUGGUUGUUCAAGUUGAAUUUGAUGCCUUAAUGGCUAACUCAACCUAGGAGCUUGUUGAGUUACUGCUUGGUCAAAAAAUGAUCGGGUGUAAGUGGCUUUUUAAAAUAAAAAAAAUCCUAAUCGGGCGAUUGCUUGGCAUAAGGCUCAAUUGGUGGCAAAGGGCUGUUCACAGGUACCCGAUUGUGACUUUAAAGAAACGUUUAGUUCGAUGGUCAAACCGACUAUUUGAACCAUAUUAUCGAUCGUUGUCUCCAAUAGUUGGAAACUUCGUUAGGUCGAUGUGAAUAAUGUCUUUUUAAAUGGUGAUCUCUCUGAUGAAGUAUUCAUGUAGCAGCCAUCGGGAUAUGCUCAGUCUGGACCAAAUAGUAAGCUAUUAGUGUGUCGUCUGACAAAGGCAUUAUACAGGUUGUGACAAGUUCUGUACGCCUGGUUUGAUGAAUGGAAGCACUUUCUUAUUUGUAGUGAUUUCUUCUUAUCUAAAUCUUAAUGUCCUUGUUUGUUCAAGUUACGUUCAACUACAGCGCUUAUGUUUUGGUCUAUGUGGAUGAUAUUAUUGUUACUAGAAGUUCAACUGACGGAAUAAAUAGUUUAUUCAGCAACUACAUAAAGAUUUUUCACUUAAAGACAUGGGCAAGCUUCACUUCUUCUUAGGCAUUAAAGUCACUCGAUCUUCCACUAGGAAUCUCCACUUAUGCCAAUGCAAAUAUAUUCGAGAUCUGCUUGACAAGAGUUCUUUAGCUAAUGCAAAAAGUGUUCAUACACCAAUGGUCAGUUCUUCUGCUUUGUCUAAAAAUAAAAAAGAUCGUCUUGUUGAUCCUACUGAAUAUAGAAGCUUUGCGAGUGCACUUCAAUAUGUGGUCUUAACUAGGCCUGAUAUAGCUUAUACGGUAAAUUGUGUUUGUUAAUUCAUGCAUACACAUACUACAAUACAUAUGGUAGCUCUAAAACGGAUCUUGAGGUACUUGUAUGGUACUAUUGAUUAUGGGUUAGUUUUCCGACCAUUUAAUAGACUGUCUUUAGUUGGGUAUGUUGAUGCCAACUAGGGUCUAGAUUUUGAUGACCGCCGGUUUACGACAAGCUAUUGUGUCUACUAUGGUCAUACACUAUCUCCUGGUGUUCUAAGAAACAACAAGUGGUUUAUCGAUCUACGGCUAAAGUUGAAUAUUAAAAUCUAGUAGCUACUACUAAUGAUAUUACUUGGUUAGUCUCUCUGCUAAAAGAACUACAAAUUCGUUCUGUCGAUCCACAGGCAAUUUAGUGUGACAAUUCUAGUGCAGUAGCUAUUGCCGCCAAUCGGGUCCUACGCUCCAAAUUCAAACAUGUUGAACUUGAUCUAUUCUUUGUACGUGAAAAGGUGGCUGAUGGUUCCCUAGUUGUCGGCAAGGUGCCAACCUAUGACCAAGUUGCUGAUAUUCUCACAAAACCAUUAUAUGUUUCUACUUUUGCUCGAUUUCAUAGUUUACUUCAGGUCUUACCCAUUAAGAAGCUAGGUGAAUGUUAGAGUAUGGGAUCUAUUAGUCUGAUACUAAGUUGUUAUCUAAUAUGGUAUAUUGUUAGCAGCAGUUAAGCAUACACUUGUAUAUAAACUCUUUCCCUGUACCUAUCCAAACAAGAAUGAAAUACUAAUAUUGCUUAGUAAAUCCCGUUUACCUCUUAAUUGUUUCUUUUAUUCAAUUCAAUAGAGAUACUAACAUGUAAGCAUCUCAUAUAUCAAUCAUCACUUCUCUUACUUAAAUUACAAUAAAAAGGUCAUACCAAUGAAAAAAAUACAUCCACCAACCUAUACAUUUCACAAAAAUUAAUAUCUAAUUUACUAAAAAAUCCAAUGAAGUUAUUAACAAAAAAAAAUAACAAAGCAUGUAAUUUCCGUACUCAUAAAAUUUCCUACCCUUAACCUUUCCAUAAAGUUUGUCUAGGAAUUUUACUCCGACAAUGGCACAUAAUAGUUGAGAUACGAUCUUCAAAAUUUGAAAGAUUGCUCGUAUUCCCGCUUUCAAAAAGCUAAAAUUUCAAAUACAAUAAAAUAAAUUAGCAUCAACAAAAUGGGUAGGAACAUAAUUAACAUAUAAAAUAAAUACCAACUUACCCGAUUUUUAAAUCACCAAACAAAAUGGUUACUCGUAAACCUAAACACUACAAAUAAAGUGAAUUGGUGUUCUUUAAUACCAUGAUUUGCCCAAAAUUAUGAAAUAAAAUUUAACUACAAUAAAAGGGAGGGGGGAAGGGAGAGAGAAUCAUUGCCGGUUGUUAUUUAACACCAUUUUGUUGCCAAAACCAUCAACUAACUAAAAACAGAAGUACGAUGCCAAAGGAAAAUCACGUUUUUGGAAUAAAAAAUGUGUUCUUACCUUAUAAAUGAUUAUGUUGGGAUGUAUUUGUAUAAACAACAAAAUAGAAAAGGUAAAUAACAUUUAACACUGAUUUCAUGUGAAAAAUUCUUCCGAAAAGGAUAAAAAUUACAAGUAAAUGAGGCUUUGAUUUUUCCUUAAAUAAGUAAACAAACAAGUGUUAGACAAAACACGUUAGCUAAUUAAAUACAAGAUCUGAACAAAUAAUAUAAAAAAUAUUUAUAUUUAUGUAAAACACUAAAUCUGAAAAUAAUUAAAAAAAUAAAAAUAAAAUAAGGGAAUUGAGUUUUACUAAGAUGUUGAGGCAUGUUAUAGUUUUUUUAAGGCAAAUUUGGCCCACAUUGUGUGGGUGCACCCUCAACUUUAAUAAAUUUGGAAUUGUAUCCCCCUUGUGCACGCCCAAAUGAGAACAUUAAUUUAGUCAUCUAAUAAUUGCUAAGUUGGUUUACAUAUAUAUACAAGUUCCACACUUGAUUCCCAAUAAAUGUGGGAUUAACGCUUUUUAUUUUUCUCAACAUAAUUCACAAGUAGUUUACUUUGAGUGUUAAUUUCUCAUUCAUCACUCAACCAUUUUGAGCAUAUGAUAUACCGUUAUAAGGGUCUCAUAAAGUCGAAUAUAAAAUCAUAAUUUUAUGAUUCAACUCUUUACCUUUACCAAUCGAGAAUAUACCUCAAAGUUUCUAAAAAUUACAUUUUUUUAACAACAAGAAUACAAUAUGGAGAAAUAAACCUAAACGUACUAUAUGUACAAACCCAAAACCCAAAAACAUAACCCUACUUCUCAUAGAGUUCUCUAACAAAGGGGUACAAAAUUCUCUCCAUAAUUAUCACGAAUACUCUUACCAUAUCUGCUACUACAUCUUGUCGCCUUAAAAAAAAAAGGCUUUGUAGUACUACAUCUAUAAUUACCUCUUAAUUUGUCUUUCAAAAUAGGGAUACAAGACUUCUUUAAAUAAGUUAAGAUUAGAGGUCUAAUUAUAUUAAAAUACUCCUAGAAUAAUCAAAGUUUAACUAGGAGAAGAAACUCUAUUUAUGUGGGGAAACACGUCACUACGUUGCAACAUCUCCAUUUGUGUCGUCAUAGCAUCAUCUGUUUUAUAACAUCAAGAAGCUUCUCAUCAUGAUAUCGCCAUCUAUUUGACUAAAAAUACGAGACACACCUGAUAGUCUAAAAUAAAACUUGGGUGUUCUUUCAAUUAGGGUGCUGGAAUUAAGAAAAACUUUAAAAGAAAAUGGCAUUCUUCAGCUGGGAGGAGAGGGUAUCGAUUUAAGAAACAUUAAAAUGGAUUUAUGGUGAUGGGUGAAUGCUUAAUAAAAAUUUUAUAUUUUAAUCUCACUUCUCAUUCAAUUCCAUGCCACUUAAUUCAAAUAUAUAUAAUAUCAAAUCUUAGCUUAACAAUAAAAAUAAUAAUUUUUUAAUAAAAAAUUAUUUUUUUAUUUAAUAUACAUAGAUUAAUCUACUUAUUUUUCAAUAAAGGAAGUAAAAAUGUAAUUUAAGGGUUAAUAUAAAAACCUCCUUAAUACUUUUAUCAUUUUAUACUUUGCAUUGAAUAAUUUUCUUAAUUUUUAUAAUUAUAUUGAUAAUAUUAUUAUUAAAAUAACAAUAAUUAAAUAAUUAAUUAUUUAAUUAAAAAAAUUUAAACCCAGCGAAUUGAGGCCAUAAUUCUAGUGAAAUAUAGAACUCCCACACUCUUUUUCAGUGGCUUCUAAACUAUUUGUAGCUUUUCUAUGAUAUAUUAUAAUAACGUUUAUAGUAAUAAAUUGAAGAAAAUUAAAUUGAUUUUUUGGAUUUACAAGCCCGAAUUUAAAGGUGAUGCAUAUUUUAUUGAAGGUAGAGUAAAAAUAAAUAAAAUAAAAUUUCAAUAAUUAAAAAAAAUUAUAUAAAUAAUCACUUCACUAUUAAUAAUUUUCUUAUUAAAUCAUCAAUUUUAAAAAGUUAUAUAAUGGUCAACCGACUUAUAUUUUGUACGUUUAAAAUAGUUAAAUUCUCAAUUGUUGGUUGAUGAGAAUUUUAAGUUAUUAACUUUAUUUUUUUAAUAUUUAUUUUUAAUACACAUCAUUUUUAUGUCAUGAUAAUUAAAAAAUUAUUAACCCAAAUCACCCCACCCCGUCCAAUCCCCCUCCCCUCCUCCCUCCUCCCUCCUCCCGGCUCCCUCCCCCCCUAGCGCCACCAUUCAUAAUCCCCCCAUUUUAUCAAUACAGAAACUAACGACCAUGGGGCAAACCGGAAAACUUUGGAGGUGGAAGAGAAGUCAUCACCAAUGGCUACUUCAAUUCAGCCGAGAGGGAUGAGUGGAGAGGUAGGGUGGGGGUGAUUUGGGUUAAUAAUUUUUUUUUUAAUUAUUAUAGGACAAUGAAAUUAUGUUUAAUCAAUAGAGUAUAAUUAAAUUGUAAUUUUAUGUCAUGUUUAGUAGUAUAAAUUAUAGGUUAAAUUUUAUCUAUAUACUCGGCAUAAAUCGUGGAUUUAGUCUUUAUAUUUUAAUUUUAUCAGUUUCAAUCCCUAUACUUUUCAAUUUGGUCAUCUUAGUCCUUGUACUUUUCGGAUUUUUAAUUUUUAAUUCUGACCAAACAAUUCAAUUAAAUAUGUUUGGUUAAAUUCUACUAUUGAUCUUAUACUAUGUGUAAAGUUGUAGAUUUAAUAUAUGUUCUACAAUUUGAUCAUUCUUAGUUGCUAUAACUUUCAAAUUCCAAAAUUCCAAUCUUAGGGUCCAUUUUAUUUACAUGUAAAAGGUUUUACGAAAAAUAUUUUCUACAUUAUACUGUAUUUGUUUCACAAAAAAAUAUCUUGGUUAACAGAAAAUAAACUAUUUUUUUAGUAAAAUGACUUACCAUUUUAAAAAACUGUCAUAUAACUAAAAAAUGACAUUAUAAUGAACCUGAAUAUAACAAAACAUGACAUUAAACAUACGAUGAUAUGUUUGUUGCAUCAAAUUUUAAAAAUAUCUAAACUUAAUGAAUUUAAUAGUCAUUAUUUAGUUAAGGCUAAAAUUUAAAAUUUUAGAAAGUACAUGAAUUGAAAAAUGAUCAAACAAAAAUACACGAACUAAAUUCACAAGUUACGCAUAGAAUUAAUAACAUAAUUAACAUAAUUUGUAAUUACACAACUACAUAAUUUUAAAAAUUUUAAAAGAUAUAAAUUAAUUAUUAUAAAUUUAUCAAUAAUACUUCUCUAAGCAAAUAAUAAAAUUUAAAAUCUAUUCAUCGUAUAUAAUAUGUUAAACUAAGAAAAUAUCUGACAAUAUGAUUAUUAAUAAAAUUAAUAAGAAAAAUAAACAUCCUAAUUACUUUUAACCUUCCAUAUUUAUUUUUUUUCUCUAUGGAACAUUAAACAUAUACUCCUUGUUAUCGUCAAUUUGUCAUAAUUAAGUAUAAAUAACUAAUAAUAAAUAUUAUAUAAUUUAGUUAAAUUCAACAACGGGGGAAUUUGUGAGUCACCUAAAAUGUGAAAUUUAAUUUUUAGCUCUUUAAAUUUUAUAUAAAUUUAAGUUAGUAAAUAGUAAAAUUGUACUUUGGCCCCCAAAAUAAUAACAUUGACUUGGUCCUUUCAAAAUUGUAAAUAUAUAAUCUAUUAAAAUGGUAAAAUUGUAAUUUAACUCUCAUAAAAAUAUAUAACUGAAUUCUAGAUCUAAAAAAAUUUUCUAAUUUCACUCUGGUUAAAUUUAGUGUAGAUCAUUUAUAAUAAAUACUAUGCAAUUUAACUAAUUAUUUAAUAAAUCAAAAUGUAAGGAAAAUUAUAAUUUUGUUAUUCAAACAAAAUUAGUAAAAUAAUGUAUAAUUGUAUUUAAAAAUAAAAUAUGUCCUAAAAGAAAAACACUAUUAUUAUUAUAUAAAAAUUUCUUAAAUUUAAAUUUAUUAGACAAGGGCGACGUUAGAAAAUUUCUUUUAAGGGGGACCGAAAUUAAAUUGUAAUUUUUAAAAAAUUAAAAAAUUUAUAAUUUUUAGAAAGGUUAAAAUAUAAUUUAAAAUUUUAAAAAUUUUAAAGAGCGAAAAUAAAAAACGCAGCCCAGAUAAUUAGAACUAAGUGAAAUUAAACAUGUAAUUAUUUCAACUCUUACACCUCCCUUUAAAAAUUGAAGGGUAAUUAAUUAUAUUGAAAUCGGAAAAAUAGAAAUAAAAGAAAUAGUAAAGAUAAAUCAGCAAGGCUGAGGGAGGCUCAUUUUGAGGAUUUAAUCUGUUUAAAAAGGAAAAGAAAAGAAAAGCAUAAUAACUGGAACUGUAUAUUUACACAAUUUAUAGCAAGUUAAACAACCAAUUUCUUCUUUGUUUUAAUGUAUGACAAGAAUACAACAUACAUACAUGAAAUGGUAGAGAUUCUAAGGAGGGGCAGUUUGUAUGCCUUUUUUUUUUUUUAAAGUAAAGAAGAUGGAAAAUUCUGUGGGAAUUCAUCAUCACCACCUGCUUCUUUCUUCUUCACCUGCAAAAGAAUGUUCUCUCUGAAAUUUUUUUGGUUUUCAUCUACUGCUUACCUUCUGGGACUUCUUUUAUGGUCAUGUCUACCAUUUCGACCGAGUUAAAACCUCCGUCAUCGGUGGCAAUGGUCGAUUGCGUGUCGAGCCCCGACCCUGCUUGUAUCUCCUUGAACAUUGCCAUCACUUGAAUCAUUGUGGGUCGUCUCCAAUGUCGAUCAUCCAAGCAAGCACAAGCUACCUUUAAGUGUUGUAAAAGCUCGAUCUCGAGCAUGGGGUCUUCUUCCAUCAACUCUGGAUCGAAGACAUCACUUAUUUUGAGUUUAGCAUGCUGUUUCACCCAUCCAACAAGAUUGUUAUCGCCAAAAUCGGCUGAAUCCGUAGGCCGUUUUCCCGUUAGUAGCUCGAGUAAAACCACACCGUAACUGUAAACAUCGCCCUUGGUGGAACAUCGGAAGCUCUGGUAGUAUUCAGGAGGAACGUAGCCAGGGGUGCCCGCUAACGUGCUGACACUCAAAUGCGUAUCCACUGCAUUCAUAAGCCUAGCCAUCCCGAAAUCGGAGACCCUGGCUUCCAAGUUCUCAUCAAGUAGGACAUUGCUUGAUUUCAUGUCCCUAUGAAUUAUAUGAGGAAUGCAAUUAUGGUGAAGAAACGCCAGCCCUCUUGCAGCUCCAAUGGCGAUCUUCCUCCUUGCAGCCCAGUUCAGCUUGAUCCCAGCUUUCUUUUGGCCAUGUAGAACAUCCUCUAAGCUUCCAUACAUCAUGUACUCAUAAACUAGAAGCCGUUCUUCACCCACCCUACAGUAACCCAAGAGUGGAACGAGGUUCCGGUGCUUGAUCUUCCCAAUGGUUUCCAUUUCCGCUGUGAAUUCUCGGUCACCUUGUCCACUGAUAUGUAUUAGUUUCUUGAUAGCAACAACACUCCCAUCUUUCAGUUGGGCCUUAUAAACAUCACCGAAACCACCGGAGCCGAUAAGGCUGUCAUUAUGGAAGCCAUUAGUGGCUUCAAGAAGAUCAGCAAAGGUAAGCUUCCGAAGGGGCUUUUCAAAUGUGGCCAAGUUGAUGCUCAAUGCUUCUCGUGCACCAGUUAGCUUCCAGCUGGUAUUCGCGGUGCUGGAGUGGGAAUAACUAUCCAUAUAAACAUCAAGAGCAGAAUCCUGUUUUUCCCUUCUCUUCUUGGUCUCCACAAUAGCUACAAUCACACCAAAGAUGCAGAAAAGAGAGAACAACAAUCCCAUCGCCACACUCCCUGCAAGAGAAGCUUGUUUGCGAUGAGACUUCCGAUGCUCGGAACUCGAAGCAGCCACUGGAUCUCCACAGGGAGGAAGAGGGACCCCACAGAGACCUGCAUUGUUAAAGAAAUCACUAGCCGGAAACGUCUCCAGCUGACCGGUUUCCGGGAUCAUGCCGGAGAGAAGGUUGUUCGACAGAUUAAUCUCACUCAGAAGAGUGAUGCCAGUCAUGGAUUGUGGAAUUGACCCUUCCAAUCUGUUGUAAGAAAGAUCAAGAAUGCCAAGUCCCUUCAAGUUCCCAAUCUCUUGUGGGAUGUUACCAGAGAUAUCGUUGUGGCCCAAAUUCAGGAUAAACAGAUAUGGCAUCGUGCCGAUCUCUUUCGGAAUAGACCCAGACAGAAAAUUGUACGAAAUAUCAAGAAAUAUCAUGGAACCAUUAUUGUCGAAUGUAGGCUGCGUGUGACCUCCAUAGACUCUGUUAAAAUUGCAAGGGUUUCUGCUGGAAAUUCUAUUCAACUGUUCCUGCCUGAUCCCGGCGAACUCGAGCAAAAUCCCGGCCCCGUGGCACUCUUUCCUUCCAUCAUUCUUGAUGUACAUAUACCUCUUCCCAGCAAUAAAAUUGACAGCUAUUUUACCAGAUUGUUUGAACAACACCGGAGGGACAGUCCCAUUCAACUGAUUGGUAUUAAGAUCCAACCAUAUCAAGCUUUGACAAUCACCAAGCUCAGGUGGGAUUCUUCCAUAAAACGAGUUAUUACUGAGCUGCAGAAUUGCAAGGCUUGAAAGUUUGCCAAGCCAAGCAGGUAUCUCACCGGUGAACCGAUUGUUGGAUAAAGAAAUCCAGUUCAACUUGGUGCAGUUGCUUAGACCUGAAGGUAUCGUCCCGGUCAACUCAUUGAAGUCAAGAAUCAAGGUCUCAAGUGUCUGAAUGUUACUUAGCUCUUGAGGGAUUUCACCAUGGAGCUGAUUUAACCACAGCCUCAAAUCCUUAAGCUUGGAGAGAGUACCCAAGCUGUUGGGGAUGCUACCUUCAAGGUAAUUGAAGCUUAAAUGGAGAGAAACAAGCCGAGAACAAUUGCUGAGACUAGCUGGAAUCGAUCCAGUCAAGUAAUUGUUCUGCAAAUACAGAACUUGUAACCUGUUUGUGGGAUUUUCACACAAAGAAACAGGAAUUGGCCCUGAAAAAAUGUUUGAACUGAGAUCUAAGACCUCCAGCUUCAAAAGACUUGACAAAGACACAGGCAAAGGGCCUGAAAAGUGAUUAAAAGCUAAAACAAGCUUCUUCAAGGACCUCAUAUUCUGGAAUAUCUCAAUGGGAAGUUUACCAGUGAAGUUGUUGGUGGAUACAUCGAAAGAUUCCAAAGAAGAACAAGAAGCAAAGCCACUAGGAAUCAUACCAGAAAGAUUGUUUGAAGAAAGAUCCAGCUCCACAAGAGUUGCACAAGCUUCAGUCAGAUACAGAGGAAUCUGCCCUUGAAACUUAUUACCGGCUAAAUAAAGACGUUCCAAUUUGGAUAUUGGUAAACCUGGAAUCCGACCUGAAAACUGGUUGCUCGAUAGAUUCAAGAAGUUUAAGUUCAGACAUGAAGAGAUUUCACGACCAAUGUCACCGGAAAACUUGUUGGCAGACACAUCGAGGUGUUCUAAACUUAAACAGUCACCAAAUGAAGGCGUCCCCAUUGAGAAAUUGUUCCAAGAAACGUCCAAAAACUUGAGUUUUUUGCAGUUGGAGACGUUUAUGUCACCAGUAAUCUUGUUUCCCUUCAAAGCCAAGAGCUUCAAGUCAUUGUAACCACCGUGAAGAAUCCAAGGGACCAAGUUUCCAGCCGACAGCUUGUUGAAAGAAAGAUCGAGAACUUCCAAACUUAGCUGCAAACCCCUGGUUUGUUCUUCACCAGAAGACUCGAGUUUGUUGGUUGAUAAAUUGAGAGACUUCAAAUUUGGGCAAGAACCCAAGGUGGAAAGGGUUGAAAGGGGACCAGACAAGGUGUUUUGAGACAGAUCUAGACUGGUUAACAAGGAGCUACACUUGGAUCCAUAAGGGAAAGAAAUGUUGCCAGAGAUGUUGGCUUUCAACAAAGUAAGGGAUUCCAAGUUUUCCAACGCUAAAAGGAAGGCAGCAACUGAGUGAAAAUCGGUGCUCAAGGAGGUGUCACUGAGUUCAAUAGAGGAAACCUUUGAGUCUUGGCAUGUUACACCAUUGAAGCUACAAGGGUCUUGGUUAGGUACCCAGCUUUGAAGCACAGAUUGGUCAGGCAAGCAAGCUUUGAAGCUGAGCAGUAACUGAGAAUCUUUGUUGUUUAAAGAAGACACCACAAGAACUUCAAAGCAGAUAAGAAAGGUGACGGUGAAGGUGAGAAAGGCAAAUAAAGGUCUCAUAUUUGUAGGGAUGGGUGGAAGUUUUUAACUUGUUUAUUAUAGCAAUGAAAACAAGAGAAACAAAGAGAGGUGUUUAAGGUAUGAGCCUGCCAUAAAAGGAGAGAGCUUUGAGCUCUGGUUUUACAGAAGAGAGAGAGAAAGAGAGAGAAAAGCUGGGUUUUUAUGUUUUCUAUUGGCUUUGAGGGCAAUGGGGUUAGUGAAAGAAAGAGAAAAAUGGAGUCAAAAGAGGAAGUGAAGACAGUAAGAAGGGUAUUUAUCAAAGUGGGGAGGAGUGGAAACAGCCGUUGUUGGCUCACAUGCCAUGUGACCCUCUACUCUUCUGUUUCUCUUAGUUAAAUUAAAUUAAAAUUAAAUAAUGGUUAAUAAAUCUUAGUUCUAAAUCUAACCAAUUUAAAUAAUGGGUUAUAAUAAUAUGUUUGUCUCUCUAGAUUGGUGAUUAAGUGUGGAGCAACCCUUAAUCUCCUACUUCAAAUAAAUCUUCUUUUUAUUUCACUAUCUUUUUUUAUGUUUGUUUCUUUAUAUAAAAAAUCACUAAUCUUUGAUUUGGGUCAUUUUUAUUACUUUCAUAUUUCAUUAAUUAUUAUUAUCAUAUUUAUCAACAAAUAACGAAUUCAAUAUUUUUUUAACUAAGCUCUUCAUUCCAAUCUUAUAACUUCAAAUAAAAAUAUUACUAAAUUCGAAUUCGGCUCAACCAAUAACUCAAAUUGUUUGAAUUUGAGCUCGACUCAUUAAUUACCGAAUUGAGUUUAAUUUUUUUUGAGUCAAACUCGAGCAACUUUCGAACACCGAUGUCUCGUUUACUCCACUAGAAAAAACUAACACAAACCUCGAACAUAAAUUAUAAAACAAAUAUAAAAUAUAUAUAUUCUUUAUGUAACUUAUGGUAUUUGGAAGUUAUAUCAGAAUUAUUUAAAUAUGAAAUUAAACUUCUUUUGACACAAUGCUUAAAAUUAUUUAUAGUUGCCCCAACAUAUAAAUAAUAUAAUAACUUGAGCGCAUUCGAACCCACGUGUUUCUACAUUGAUAAUAAUAUCCGUAUCAAUCAAGUUAAAACUCAAUUAACUUAAUUACACACUUAAGGAUACAUGUUUAACAACUAUUACUUCUUUAAAUUUGCUACUAAACGAGACUGUAAUAUGCAGUGACUUGUAUAAGAUUAAUCUAAACUAUUUAUAUAUUUUUUAAUUAAUAUAGUAAGUUAAUCAAAUAUUAAUUUAGUUGAGAAAAUAUUUUAAAAUAAAUUUUAUUUUAAGUAUAUUUAUAUCUUUAAAUAAUUUUAUAAUUUUUUUAGUUUGGGUGUUAAUUAUUUUGUUUAUAUAAUCAAGUUUCCCUCAUACUUUAUGUGUAUGCCUUAAGUGAGUUUUUGUUGGAUUUUUUUUAUUUUUAUAUGAUUCUUGAUUUGAUAUGUAUUGUAUUGGUUUAAUUCUAAAUUAUAAUUUAUCAGGCAUAUAUUUAUACUUAUUUUAUAUUUAUAUUAGUAAUUUUUUAAAAAUAAAUUACAGAUUUAUUUUUUAAAAUUGAAAAAGAGAGAGGGAGAGAGAGAAAAUUGAGUGCUUGUCUCUCUAGCUUUUGAAGCGUACGUGUGACCAAGUAAUGGAUUAAUCCAUCAAUAUAAUUAAUUGAGAAUCCUAAUCUCUUAAUUCAAUGGAUUACUUUUUUCCUUUUAGGAUUCAUGACUAUUAAUCAAAGUCAUUUUGGCAUUAUGUCCCUUUUUAAGGGGUUUUGCUAAUCAGAAUUUAUUUUUUAAGCUUUAAUUUUAUUAAUAGUUGUUUAUUGAUGUAAAUGUAUUAAAAAUUUUAAAUAAAAGAAUAAACUAUAUCAUUAAUCAUUAAAUUAUGAAUAAGUAUUCAUUUUGGCCACUUAAUUAAAAAAAUUAUAAUUUAAUUAUUAAAAUUUUUAAAAAUUAUUUUUUUUAUCCGACUAUUAAGUGACCAUUUUUUAGCUGAUCCCAAGUGGCAUCAUAGUUACAAAGGUAAGGCUGUAUAUGCCUCAAUUGGUGAUUCAAAUCCUCAUGAAUGUAUUCUCCAUAAUUAAUAUUAUGCAAAAUACUAGCAUCUCUCAUAUGAGCUAUUGCAAGUCUUAUUUCCAUCAACCGAGGUGUUCUAACUCCGUAAAUCUUUUAGGGUUUUUAGCAGAAUCGAGAGACAAUACAUUCACCAUUGAAGAAUUUGUAAACUCCCAAACCCAAACAAAUAAUACUUGGAAAACUUAUCCCAAAAGAGAUUCAAAGUUAGAUUGAUUAUUCAAAUCAUGAUUUGACUUUUGAUUUAGUCAUAGAUUGUAAUUUUUUUAAAAAUAAUCAGCAAAAGUAAAAAGUGGGUAAUCCUGUUACAUUGAAAAAGGGUUAUUAAGUGUAAAACUAAAACAAGGCCAAAACCUCCUCACCUCUCUCUUUCAUGCACUUCCCUUUUUUUCUUCCUUUCAAACGUAACAUGCCAUUCUCCCACUGAUUUUUCCUUUAUAUCGUAUUAAUGAAACUGAAUAAACUAUAAAAGUUGUCACUUUUGUUUGCUUCAGAUUACAUUAUAAUCACUUAUAUUUAAAAUAUUAUGUUUUAAUCACUUACAUUAUCUUUUUGUUACAAGUGGUCAUUAUACCGUUAAACCCCAUUGUCUCCCUAAUGACAUCCUACAUGACAUUCCAAAUGGGUUUUAAAUGUUAAUUUGGAUGUCCAAUUGCUGAAAUGAAAAUAGGUUUUUAAUUAAAUAAAUAUAGUUUGGACUACUGCGUAGGACUUCCAAGUUAGCAUUUAAAACCCAUUUGGACUGCCACAUAAAACCACUGUUAGGGGGUUAACGGAGUUUAACGAUAGAGUGACUACUUCGUAACAAAACAAUAACUUAAGUGACUAAAACGUAACACUUCAAAACAUAAAUAACUAAAAUGUAAUCUGAAAUAAACAGAAAUGGCUAUAUUUAUAGUUUACCAAUGAAAUUAGUUUUAUUGAAAUUUGUUCAGAAUAUUUUAAUUAUUUUUCUUAAUUUAUUCAAUUAAAUUAUUCUCAAUUUCAAACAUCUAAAAUCUCAGUUAUCUAAAAAUAAAUUGAAUUUUUUUUAUUAUCCAUUUGAUAAAGCUAUAUAUAAGUUUACUGUUCUGUAAUUAGAUUUGUACCCUUAAUAUAUUUAUUAAAAAUGAAUGAAAAUAAUAUUCCAAGUGAUUUCAUUCUUUUUUUUUUACUAAAUAAAUUUAUUUCGAAAAAUAUGUUAUCUUAAACUAUUGUUAUUACAAAUUUCGUUAAUAUCACUUUACAUAAUAAAUAAUUAUAUGUUGUUUAUAAUUUUUGAAUAAACGAGAAUUCAACGUUUAUAGUCCUAUAAGAAACCUAGAUUUCAUAAUCACCCAACUCAAAAUUACACAUAUUUUUCAACAUUUUAAUUUCUUAUAAUAUUUUCUAGGUAAUUUUAUCCUUAUAAAAAAUUGAAGGUAAAAGUAUAGUAGAGGUCUUGUACUAGGAGUUGGAUUAUAUUUUUGCCUCCCUCUAUUUAAAAUAUAGGUAAAUUAGUCCAUGUAAAUCAAUUUAAAUAGCAAACUAGUCCUUUGUUUAUCAAAUUAUACUGUUAAAAACUAACUCUUAUACGUUAGCAUGAGAUACAUAUGUUACAAUCUGGUUGUUCUAUCAAUCACAUUGUACAAAUUACUAGAAUUUUUAAUAAAAAAAACCAAAUUACUUUUUCGAUCUAACUAAUUUACUUUUUUUUUUUUGACAAGAAAGGUAAAAUGCAAUUAAAAAGUUUUCUUUUUACAAUGAUAUAAAAAAUUAUUAAAAUUUUAAAUUGUAAUGAUAAAAUAACCUAAUUUAUCUUGUUUCAGUGUUUUUUUUUUGGUUACAUAUUGGAAUUAAGAAACAUAUAUGUAAGUGGCCAAUACAACAAAGAGAUCCACAGUGGCAAUACGGACUAUACACUAAUCUCGGUACUCGUGUACCAGAGAAACGAGCACUGACAAUUAUUUAAUAUUUUCCCUUACAGUAUCUCCCACUCUUCUACCCGGCGCGUUUUCCGGACUAGCAGUUCAGCCCUGUUGUACCGAAGCGCAUGAGAGUAAACAUAAAACGACAAUUCAGAUUAUUUGAAAGACCCUACCGUCUCAUUCCUUAUCUGUCGACUCAAAGUCACCUGACUCAACUCCUCAUCUCGUCCCCCCAUUCUUCAAAUAAUUGGUCCAAGAAAAGAAGAUUAAUAAAAUCCUCCCACAAAUAAUUGGCAUUUCCGUUUCACGCGCUUUACUUCCGGUGGGUUUUGGAUUUUCCUAUUCGUGGAUGUUUAUGUUAUUACUCCCUGUACGAACAACCUCACGAUCUCUCACCCGUUGAUCUUUUUUAAACGGUCAUGAUUUCAUUUAUUACUUUUAAGUGGGACCUUAUUGGGAACAACGCAGUUGCCGUCAUUCGUGUCUCUAUCAGUAAAUCUAACCUACUCUUACAGUUUAAUCUUUAUAUCACGAAUAUACCCUUUAUAUAUGAAGAAUGUUAAGGGGCAUUACAGUAAUAUCUUCAUUUUGCGGGUUUUUACCUUUUACCAGUUAUAGGUACGGUAUGAUAUCGACUAAACUCAUCAGUGUUUUUUACUUAAAUCGCUACUUUAUCAAAUUUCAUUUUUAUAUUAAUUUCAAUUUAAAAAAUAUAUUAAUUUUUUAUUUUAUUAAAAUUAUUUUUAAUUAAUCUAUUUUUAUAAAUUAAUUGUAUUCAUUAAAUUAGACCGUUAAGCCUUUUUUUUUCAAAAUUUUUUUAUUAAAAUCCAAAAAGGCAAAGCGAAAAAACCUUGCUUUAAAGGUUUAAUAAUGGUGGGGUUGAAAAAUUAAAUGUGCUACUGUCUUUUGUCUAGGAGGCAUGUUUUUCGAUUGGGUUUGAAAAUAGGUAAAUUGCAGAUCAGAUGUUGUUCAGCCCAGAUGUAUAAUUUAUUUUAACCAAAAUACUGUUUUUUUUUUCAAUUUUAUGUGAUUUCUUUCAGAAAAAGAAUUUUAACUAUAAAAUUAUGAGUAAUAUAUAGAAUAUUUAAUUUGAAAAAAAAAUAACUCUCAAUUUUUCUUCAGCUUUUUAUUAUUGAUCACAUUUUUUCUAUCGAUAAUCAUUCAUUUUUCUCCCUUUAUUAGUUAUUUAUACAUUUAAAUUUAAUCUAAAAAAAUUAGUAUUUGGCACAUCGAUAAUGUAUUUUUUUUAUUUCACAAGUAAUUUUAAAAAUUUUACAACUUGCUUUUUAAAAUUUUACUAUAUAUCUAUAGAACACUUGUCAACCAAUAAAAAUCUAUUGCUUUAUUAAAAUAAGGAGCCUUUAAUAAAUUUUCCACAGAGUUGGGACUCAUUUGUAGGGUGCCACCAACUUGAUAAAAAUCUUAAAUAUUAGUAUAUAUGAAAGAAUAAAGGUAUUAUGUGAACAAUUAAAAGGAAAAAAAAAUUAUCAAUUAGUGUUGGGUACAAAUGUAAAAUACAUUGUACUCUUAAGAGGAGAGUGUAGAUUCGAGCAUUAGAGACGAUAUUAUUGCGAGGAGCAAAUAUAAACCUUAACUAUGGACUAUAUAUAAAAUGGAUAUAUAUACUAUAGCAUUUUAAAGUUACAAAAAGGGAAAAAAAUUCUUAUAUGGCGAGCUUAUAAUUUGUCAUUUGUCACUAUAUUAUUCUAUCAUGUGUAAUUGUUUAUUAUAUUUUUAAAAAAUAAUUUCAUCGGUUAACCAAAUAUCUAAAAUUUAUAUAUUUUUAUCUUUUGGUUAAAAUAAGUAUAAAACAUAUAAAAUAAUAAAAUACUAAUGUUCAUUUUCUUUUAUUUAAUAAUUCAAAAAACUUUAAAUGAAUGUUAAAACAAUAAAUAAGACAUUAGAAACGCUACAUAUAUUAAAUAUUUAUAUAUUGGGGGUGAGCUAUAUAUAUACACACUAUAUAAUGUAUAUUAUAUAUUUCGAUUAACUACCCGAUUUCAAACAGAAUCAAUCGAUAGUCGAAACUCCAAAAAAUCAUUAACCAGCCUUCAACCGAUUAAUCGAAUUAAAUUAGUUCAAUCAGUUUAUUCGAUUUUAACCACACUGCAAACACCUUUACUAGAUUCCUUGCUUCUUAUUUUUUUAGAAAAAAAUAUUUUUGUAAUGGGCCAAUUUAGCCCGGGCCCACGUUAGAACCAAAACCCAAAAUAAAUACCAAAUUAUUAAACCAAAAGUCCAAAGAAUAAAACCAAACUAAUAGUCUGUCAUAAAGGUCCAAAUAUUACAACCAAUAUUGAUACCCAAUGCCCCAUAGCCCAAAUACAACGGCCCAAUAACUGGAACAGACCCCAACGGACCCAAAAAUUGAGCCAAGUUUCGGCAAACCCUAAGUCACCCCUCUCUCCUGCGCCGCAACAGCAACUGGGCAAUAGACCCAUACCUCCACUACAGCAGUCCCAUACCUCCACAGCCCUCGUACGCCACGCCCCCACCCCGUGCGCAUGCCUACAGACUCUGUACCUGCAAGAAAGAAACAAAAACAGCAGCGAAUGGAAACAAAUAUAUUGUAUAUUUUCGGUUGAUUUCCUUUUUCGACUAUAAAAGCCCAGCUUUUAAUCUUUGUAAAAGGGGGGGCAUAUUUUUUACGAACGAAUACACAAUAGGCAAUACAAAAAAAGCAAUAUUGGAAGGUGAUUUCUCCGAUCUAAAUCUCUUGGGCUUUCUCUUUGUGAUUAUUUUCUUGCUUUUUUUUAUUUCGAGAGUAAAUAAAAGAAAAGGGGAACACGAACACAGACGCACACAGAAUAUACACGCACAGAAAUAUAAAAAAAAAGCAAUUAAGAAUUUGCAAGGGUAAUCUCAAGUUUUCUUUCGUUCUUUCUUUUUUUUUUCUUUUUUUGUUUGGUUUAGAUCGUCUUUUAGUAGGUAAAUCGACUCCAAUGAGAUCCCGAAUACUUUAAGAUACAAAAGUAGGGGAGAGGGGUCAAGUGGUGUUGAAUCUCUAUUUUAUGAACUUUCUUCGUUUUUUUAAAAAUGUAUGAGAUUUGAAGUUUUAUUUUUUCUCAAGUAAAAAAGAAAAUACUUACUAAUUUCCUCAAGGCAUGGUCGAAUACUUACAGCAACAGAAUCAGGAAUUGUUUUGCGCGCCGCUGGACACCAAAUCGAUAGAGAUUCAGCCGCUUGUAAAAGGAACCCUAGCAAAUUUAAUUUCAAGGCUGCUGGUUUUUGUUAAAAUGGAUGGGUAUUUGAAAGGAAAGGAAGGGAAAAAUGGUUUAAAAUG